This 76181-nucleotide long non-coding RNA is filed under the name Setaria viridis. Its description in RNAcentral is "long non-coding RNA (SVIR_LNC003902)". Lineage: Eukaryota; Viridiplantae; Streptophyta; Magnoliopsida; Poales; Poaceae. The record is from RNAcentral.
UUUUUUUUCUCAAGGUAGGCCCAAUUACGAUGAUGUGGCAAAUAUUAGAGGUAGUUAUUGACGUUCUGCUGUGAGUGUGACAUGUUUUUGGGAAAGAACAUUUUAGCAUAACUCCCAAUACAUCGUUUUGGGAAGAAUUUUUUGGGAAACUUUUGAAGUUGCUCUAAAGUUCUUAAUUCUUUCUUUGGCCUUCAAAAGUUCAAACUCCCACUAUGUGACAUCAUCCGAAACUAUCAUCUUGAUAUUCUUCAGGUAUAACCCUUAGAUGGGAAAGUACAUAAUCUUUUUACUGGUUUCAGGUGUUAUUUAUUUAUUGAAUCAUACUUCCUCAAAACUAUGCUAUACGUUGUAUGUUGCGCUCCAUCGUAAGGGGUGUUUGGGAGACAGGGGAAUCGGAUGUUUGGACACUAAUUAGGAGUAUUAAAUGUAGUCUAAUUUCAAAACUAAUUGCACAACCCCUAGGCUAAAUCGCGAAACGAUUCUAUUAAGCCUAAUUAGUCCAUGAUUUGACAAUGUGGUGCUACAGUAACCAUUCGCUAAUGAUGGAUUAAUUAGGCUUAAUAGAUUCGUCUUGCGAUUUAGCCUAGGGGUUCUGCUAUUAGUUUUGUAAUUAGCUCAUGUUUAAUCCUCCUAAUUAGCAUCCGAACAUCCGAUGUGACAGGGCUAAAGUUUAGCCCUUGGUAUCCAAACACCCCUAGGGCUAGACACCAAGCGGUAAUCCUAGUUGUUGUGAUUAGAUUGCUAGCGGAAAGCCAUCAAGUGAUCAUAGUAUGUUGCUUCUUUCCGAUAGCAUGGGUAGUUUAACUUGCUAGUAGUUUAAGGAACUAGUGGGUAGAGGUAAUGAAAGCAACCCUAUCAGGGCCUUGUUUAGUUGAGGGUCAAAUUUGGCUUUGUACGGUAUUUGGGCCACCUUUUUGCACUUUGGAACUAAACGGGCUGGCAAACUUUGGUCCAAAUUCAGCCUUUUGGAUGUCCCGAAUUCGGCCCCCGCCGACCUCAUCUUAUCCAUUCCAACGCCACAGCACCGGCCGCACUCCGAACCCUAGCACCGCCUGCAGUCGCUCUCCAUCUCCCCCUGCGCCGCUCUCCCUCCCCCGCGCCGCUCGCCCUCUCUCCCGCCGCUCCCCCUCUCUCCCGCCCCUCUCCGCCGCCGCUCUCUCUCCCGCUGCGCCGCUCGCCCUCUCCCCCGCCGCUCUCUCUCCCCCUGCGCCGCUCGCCCUCUCCCCCGCCGCUCGCCCUCUCCCCCGCCGCUCUCCGUCUCCCCCGCCCCUCUCUCCCGCCGCUCUCUGUGGCGGAACCGUCCAACUUAAACUGGUUUAAAUGCGCCUAAUCGCUGCCGACGCAGCAAUUAUCCGAAGCGCACUUAAAACAGUAUAAGUCCGGUCGUCCGUCGAGUGUCCCUAGGACUCCUCGAAAGAUCCACGUCGUGUCUCAUAGCCAUACAUCAGGAUUGUAUCUGCGAUGGGAUAGCAUCAACAAAUAUUACAUUUUUACAUACAUACAAGAGGUACGAGUUAAUACAAGACAUAGUUUGAAGCAAACUUAACAGUGCAGUGUUAGACAGAGUUCUACGACUUAAAACAUAAACGGUUCGGGUGGAGAUGAGCAUUAUAAAACUUCUUCUAAGGGUAUUGUGAGACUCAUAACAAUACCCUAGAGUUUCGAGGCUUCCUCCUCAGUGGACUCCUGUGGUGCUUCUGAAAAGAUAGCCACAAGGGAUAACCCUGAGUACGGGGUACUCAGCAAGUCUUACCCGACUAACCAAUAUAAUAGUUUUUCUUGGAAGUACAUGAUAGCUUUUUGGUGUACUUGGCUGGUACAUUUUUGCCGAAAAGCUUACUACAAGUGACGCCUUAAUUUUAUCUUUUAUUUGAGUUAAGUUGUUACCUAACCAUUCUAGAUGAUGAGAAAAGAUUAAUUGCGAACAACAAGGUAUUAAGUCAUACACCAAUCAUUAUCAAAAGAUAUGACAUUCAUGAGUUUAUGCUACGAUGCUCAACAGUGAUCAAGUGCAUUCAUAACCGAGAAUUGCGGCGAUCCGGAUCAUAUUACAUCCUGCAGGAGAGUAUCUUGAUCACCAGUUCUGUACGACUGUCCAGGUCGUACGUAACGACUUUUCGAUUAGCAAAUCCAAUGAUUGGGAAUAAGACUACCCGGACCCAGGGACGCACCCCCACAUGGGACCCCACGUCUGGCCCGAUCACCAUGUGAGUUUCAGGCUACGCCCCUGCGAUUCUCCAGCACGUCAAUCGCGGGUACGAAGUAUUCCCGAUCAGAGAGUUUGCUAACCUACUGGGCUUUACUGGUCCCAUACCCAGUAAGUGAUUAGAUGAUUAUCACUUGAUCAAAGGUUAAGACAACGAAUCGGGCCUUAAUCAAAUUAAUCUAGCAGACAGAACUACAUUCCUAGCUUCUGCCCGCUUCUCAAUUUUCAAGUCAUCUUUUCAGAAUUAACAUGUAUGACUCAAAAUUCUUCCUUAGGGUUGGUAAACCAAGCAUUUAAGCAACUAAGCAAUUCUAGACUUGGGUUAUCUACUAAAGGUUUGAACAAGUGGCAAAGAUGUCCUUAAAACAAGGUAUGAUCAUGCACAAGAAUGGGUUUCAAGCAACUCCUAGACUUAGUGCAUACAUAUAGCAAAUAGCUAAAUACAGGACACAUGAAAUAUUGACUUCAAAAUAAUAGGUGUAAUGCACUGGGGCUUGCCUUGUUCGCUUAAAAAGUUAGCACUGUCCGAAGGGUUGGCCUCGCAGGGGACCAAUUCAAAGAUUUCCUCAAACUCCGAAGAUCCUUCUGAAUAUUCCGAGUAAUCUCCUUCUGGUGCUUCGGGGUCUAUAGCAUAACAUAUGCAGGGGUUAGGAAUGCAAAUUUUUGAAUAUAAGACUAUACAACUUUCCUUCAUGAUAGAGUUGCAAGCCAACAAGGACUAUACAAUUUAUCAUGAUAAAGUUGCAAGCCAACACACAAAAACCCGAAAAGAUUAGCCCACAAUUUUUUUUUAUUUCCUUAAUUAACCUUACUUAAGACCUUUCUUUUAUUUUUAGAAAAGGUUACAAUUAUUUUCUAACUUGAAAACCUAAUUUCCUAUGAGUUAAUAAUAAUUUGUGAUUAUGAAAAUGUUAUUCCGUAUUUUAUGCAUUUAAUAAAGAUUAAGUAUUUAUUUAAUUACCUUAAAAGAAAGGCAUUAAAUAAAUACCUAAAUUUUUAUUAUUUUUCUAGGGUAUAAAAAUUUUAAUGCAUAAAGGAAAAUAAAACAAGCCUAACAAAAUUGGUUUCACUAAUUUUGGACACUCCUAGAAAUUUCUGUGAUUUAAAUGGUGAGAUUCGGAUUUAAACUAUUUAUUCUAUAAAGGAAAUCUAAUUUUUCCCGAAAAACACCCCCGGCAACUUUUCUCACGCGACCCUACUCUACCCUCUCUCACUUGCGCUGGGCCCGGGGCGCGGACCCACCCUUUUCAUAUUCAUUCUACCCGCCGGCCUCUUUCUCCCCCGGCCGGGCCCUACUGGGCUGAUUCUUCUCCUCUCUUCUUCUCUUUUCACCGGUGACGGCCCAACGGCCCCUUUCUUCUUUUUCUCUUUUUCCGCACGCCAGCCUGCUGGAUCUCUGGGCCUCCGGCCGUUUUCUCCCACGGCCGAUCAACAUCGGCUCCCUGGGCCUCCGGAGCGCCGGCCCAGCUGGCCUUCGCGUCCGACCGGCCUGCCUCCUUCACUCCUCUUCUCCACUGACGCGCGGGCCCCCAACUCCCAGCACCUUCUUCUUCCUCCCGCCAAAACCGACGCGACAGGGGGCGGCGUGGCUCGCCGGCCGGCGCCCUACCGGCGACGGGGCUAGGCCGGGGAAGCAUCCCCAUGCCCUAGCGCACCUGUGCGCUGCAACAGCUCCUCGGGAGAUGGCCGGAGCCACUCCCUCCACGGCGGCGGGCGGCGGCACCUAUGGCCGGUCGCGGCCACGCUCGACGACGGCGCAACCUACCCCGACGACGACUACUACACCAUCCUAGCAUCCCAAGGACCUGCCUACGACUACCCAAGAAGGAAGAGAGCAAGCGCAAGGAGGUGCUCACCGUGAGCAGGAGGUGCGGCGACGGCGGACAGAAACUGCGGCGGGUUCUGGCACGCCGGCGGGGAAGCUAGGCAACAAGUGGCUAGGGGUGUUGGUGGGGUAUGUGUGGAGAUGUAGACGGAGGGAAUCGACGAGAGCGGCGGUGUGGUGGGGGAAUUUUACCCAGCGGCGGCGGCUUGGACAUAGAAGCGGCGGCGGUGAAAAGAGUGACGGUAAAAACGGGCGGCGUGGGAGCGGUAGAUAUUCAAGCUUUCACCGCGCACAUGAACGACAUCGUGCCCUACUUGUAGGCUUGCGUGGUGAGGGGGUGGUGUAGCUGCCGCGCUGGCGGGCGACCGAGAACAGCGGCGGCGACACGUCGAGCUCGGCUCUGUCAACCCCCUUCCUUUGUUCUCUGACGCCCGAAAUCUUCACACCCAAAUUGCGGUCGAUUUCCAAUCCGACGGUGCAUAUGUGUCUUAACCAAAGUUGUAGAUAAUCUUGAGCUUUUCAAUUCAUAUUUAAACCUUUGCUCGAGAUAAACAUCAAAAAGUCUUCAAAUUUGAAUUUUUCUCGGGCAAAUGACUGAACCUUUCUAUCCCUCCAUUCAGUUUCGUCAGUCACCUGACAGGGUCAUUUACCUUACUUCGUAAAUCGAUUUAGUGAUCCAAAUCCUUUUCUUCCAGUCUAACUUCUCUCCAUUUGUGUUCUACAACAUCCCAGGGUUCCAUUUUGCCCAUAAACAUGUACACCUCUUACUCUCCAUCUCUCUGAAAUCGACUCCAAACUUGGCCAUAUAUUGCUGUUUCACACUUAGUCGAAUUCAGCAGUGCAGUCCACCGUGACAAGAUGCCGACUUUGAGCUUCCAUUUGAAAUGGUUCCCCCUACUGUUCCUGAUCAACAACACCUGAAGAUGCUUGUCCAAAGUCCAUACUUUAAUAUGGUAUAGUUGUUUUGAUUCACUUAUUUGAAAAAUUCAACAGAAUUCAAUUUCAAAAAAUGAACUCUGUGCUGUUUUUCUGAAACUGCUAUUGUCGGACGGGGAACAGUAAACCUGUUUUUCAUUUUUUUUCUUUGAUUUUCUUGAGGUAUUCAGGACCAAUCCUUGUCCCAAAUUUUGAUCUUUGAGUUCUAAUCACCCUUACACCUUCAUUCCAUAUUUUUGCCGAACUUUUCUGAAUUUCGAAUUCAAAAUUCAAAUUUCGGUCAAAUUUGGCCCGAAUUUGAUUUUUAGCCCAUUUCUUCUUCUUUUCUUCAUGAAUUGCUUCCAUUUCUUUAGAGUCACUUUGAUGACUAAAAUGGCAGGUAUUACACUCUCCCUCUCCCCCGCCGCUCUGUGUCCCCGUGGGCCGCUCUCCCUCUCCCACGCCGCUCCUCUCACCGCCUCCGCUCGAAUCGAGCUUUCCACCACCAGAUCCAGGACCUAGUCGGUCCAAUCCACCGCGGCCGGUACCGGAUCCACCGUUCGACCGGAUCCACCAUGGUUGACCCCGUCGGCGGCGAUGGACGACUUCAACGGCGAAGGGAAUGGCGUGGAGUUCAAUGUCGGUGGAUCCGGCAACCCCGCGGGCUUCAAUGCCGGCGGAUCCGGCAAUGCUUCGAGAUUCGACUUCGGCAAUGUCCCCGACUACGACGACGGCCACCGCACAAGGAACUUGUUCUCCCUGGCGCCGCUGGGCUCAGGAUCCGGUGCGUACAACCCCUACACCUCCGUGCCGCAUCGGAACUCGUCGUCCACCUUGCCCACCCCAAGCCAGCUGGGUAUGUCCGGCUUCAACCUCAAUGCAAGCUCCGAUUGGCCGCACAUCAAUGAUUACGAAGGGAUCCUUCGCUCCGCCGACCAAGCGGGAGGAGGCGGCAGCAGCCGGGGCGGCCCUCCCGUCCGAGAGCCUUCCGACAGCGGUGGUCAGGCUGCGGCUCCCUUGCCUCGUCAGCGGCGACCUACAUCCAGGGUGCGCGGUUCCCGUCGUCGCGGCGCGGCUCAAGCACUGGACACCGACAACAAUCCGGUACAUUUCGCUGCACAUAUUUACAUCCAAGAUCUGGCCUUGCGUAUGCUUACAUUAUUCCCUGGUGUGCAUGAUUUGUUUCGGUUGGUCAUGCUUACUGUCAAUACUCGUUCAUGCAUUUCUUGUUCAAUUAAAUUGUGCACAGAAUGAGCCAACCAGGGCCAAGUGGACCAAAGAGGAUACUCAGGUUUUUUGUGAGCUUUACUGCCAACAAAUUAUUUGGGUAACUACAAGAAUGGCAACAUGAGCAAGUGGGGCUGGAAAGAUGUGCAGGAUAAGUUUCUAGCUGCGACUGGCAAGUUCCGUAACAGUGAGCAGUUUGGUUAUAAGUACAGGCAGUUGAAAUUGCUUUGGCAGUUCAUCGAAGAUCUUCGGACGAAGUGCACAGGCUUGGGGAACAGACCAGAUGGCUCUAUGGUUGCUAGUGAUAAGUGGUGGGUGGACCAUUCCAAGGUUCAUGAUCUUUGAACACCUCCUUCUGUACUCGUUUUCUUUCUCUACUACCUUCUGACUUUAUGUGUGGUGUUAUUUGCAAUGCAGGGGAAGCAAGACUGGUAUGAUCUGAAGGAUGGAUGGCCAGAAUACAUUGACGAACUAGACCGCAUGUUCUGUGAAGUUGCAGUGACUGGAGAUACCUCCUUUGUUCCUGGGGUCAGCCGCCAGAUAAACUUCAUCAAUAGCGGCGAAGUAGAAGAUGCAGAUGAUGACUGUGGCACCCCUCGGAGCUGUGCGACCCCAGUCAGCAGUGGGAGCAAGAGGAGCUCCAGCAGCAUCCGCAGCACAGCAACAAGCCCUAGCAAGAAAAACAAGGGCGCAGCUGUUCGGAACAUGAACAACAACAUGACAAGGUUCAACUCCAGUUAUGAUCAUAGGACAUCAGUGAUCGAAAGGGCGUUGGAGGAUAAGAUCAAGGAGGUUGAAGAUCUGAAGGAGAAGAAGCACCAGCGACGGGAUGCUAGGAAACAAGAACAGAAACUAGUUACAGAUUCAGCGACAGAGCUUGGAGUGCACCUGAUGGACGGACAACUCUGGAAUGGUGUGGUCAAGAUCUGCAUGAAUGAUGACCUACGCAAUAUCUUCCUGUGCACACCUGUUAAAGCAAGGUUGUCCAUGAUCAAGCAAUAUGCCGCUACGGUCUAAAACCAGACCCUAUGUCUUUUGUGUGUGCGUGUCAUGACGUGUAGUUGAAUUAAGUUGUGUUGGUUAUUAUUUAUGUUGUGAUGACGAACAUAUGAUGAACUAUGGUAGGAAGCGCUAAAUUACAAGCAUGGUUGUUGAAUUUAGUUACGUUACUUAUUAUUUGUUAAACUGAUUGCCUUUGUGUGAGAACAAUGGAUGUUUCAAUGGAGGUAGCAGGCUUUAGUACUGUGGCUACCAAAUGAAUUGUACUAACUGUUUCUGUGUUUUUUUGCAAUGGGUAGGAUGUUGAAGCUCAUUUUGGUGCACAAGUUGAAGCUCCAGUGGAAGAGGAGGACGUGUUGGACGAGUGGUGGGAACUAUUCUUGAAAUUGGUGGUAGAAGACGAUGAUGAAGCACCAUUUAUCUAUGGUACGUAUGGCUAUGCUAUUCAUCUGGACAAGUAUUGCAAUAGAGGACCGUAUAGGAAUCCAGCAUUGACUGGGGAGCAAUGGGUACUUAACAAGCUUGCCAAUGAAUCAUCCUGUACACCAUGUUUAGGAUGACCCCACACAUGUUUCAUAGGCUGCAUGAUUUGUUGACAUCUGAGUAUGGACUCACAGCAUCAAAAUAAACCUAGCACGAUUGAGGCUCUUGUAAUGUUCCUUUGGAUAUGUGGGGAACCACAAUCAGUUAGGCAAGCAGAGUACAGAUUUGGAGAUCACUAGCCACUGUGCAUAGCCUAUUUUGUAAAGUCCUCAAUUGUAUGGUAGACCUAUCUGCCGAUAUCAUUAAACCUCGGGACCCAGACUUUAGAAUAUUGCAUCCCAGGUUGCAAAACAAUCAGUUCUACCCUGAAUUCAAGGGUUGCAUAGGAGCAAUAGAUGGUACUCACAUUCCUGUGGUUGUGCCAAGUGAAAAGUUUAUGCAGCACAUGUGUAGGAAGGGCAAGACAACCUGGAAUGUCAUGGCCGCUUGUGACUUGGAUAUGGUCUUUACUUUUGUCCUUGCUGGGUGGCCUGGUUCAGUGCAUGACAUGAGGGUGUUUGACGAUGCAAUCACAACUUACAGAGACCACUUCCCAAAGCCACCUAGAGGUACACACAACAAAACUAGGUCAUUACUGUUUUCUAAUUGAAGCAUUGUAAACUUACAGGUACUUACUGCUGGUGUUGAGAAAUACUACUUGGUAGACUCGGGGUAUGCAAACCGCACCGGCUUCCUAGCUCCUUACCGGCAGACCAAGUAUCACAUCCAAGACUUUCAAAAUGCGCACGAACCACAAGGUAUGAAGGAGAUAUUCAACUUUGCACAUUCAUCUCUUAGAAAUGUGAUCGAAAGGGCGUUUGGAGUGUUGAAAAUGAAGUAGCGCAUAUUGUUGGACAUCCCGACCUAUCCACCAGAUACACAGACACGUAUUAUAUGUGCAUGCAUGUCAUUGCACAACUUCAUUAGGGUUAAUGGUGACGUUGAUAGUCACUUUGGUAUAGUGGACAACAACAUAAACUAUGUGCCUGUUGAAGGCACUCAGGAUCAGCUGGAAACAGUGCCUGCGCCAGAGAGUGCGGACAUGGCAAGCAUGAAUGCAUUUCGAGACAUGCUUGCUGAACAUUUGUUUGCUAGGUCUUGAAUAAUUUGUGAUUGAGGACAUGUAAUUGUUUAUGUACUUUGUGAGAAUUUGUAACAAUUUGCGGUGUUGUGAAUCUGUAAUAAUUUGCGGUACACUUGAGAAUAUUUUCCUUGAUGUUUUGUUUUUGAAAAUGCAAUAAAUUGUGUAGACAUUAGAGUUGUUCAUGCAUUUUUGCAUGACAACAUACAGAAUUGGUGGUAUUAAUGAUGCUAAACAGUGAAUUGCAAAGUUUGUAGAGCCCAAAUUUUGGACAUGCAAAAUUUGGCACAGUUGCAAAUUUCGGCUGAACAGUAAAUGCAAAGUUGGGAGGUCCAAAGUUGGGCAACUAAACAGGGCCUAAAAAAUGCUAGAAGGUGGAAGUUGGUGUAGUCGCCAUCCAAGGAGUAGUACGUGAUCUGGAGCAGUGAUAAGGGUGCCUUUGAUUUAACUUCCAAACUUGCUUUUGCUUAAAAAAUCAAAAGCACUCUUCCAACAUUGUCAAAAUUACCCACUUCAUUCUUUCCCGUCAUCUUCCCUCGAACAUCAGAGCACCACAACAUCCGCACGCUCUCCAGCGGUGCAUUGGGGUCAGACGCGGCAGCCCUCUCCGCCCUCCUCUCUCCUCCUCCCGCGUAGGGAUGGCGGCGCGAGCUCCCAGCAGGGGCGGCCGCGCAAGCUCCCCGCGGGCAACCGCGCCUGCUUCCCCGGCGGGCGGUCGCGCCUGCUCCCUCGGCGGCUGUGCGAGCUCCCCCGCAGGCGGUCUUGAUUUGGUUCGUCCCUCCAUGGAUUUGUAAAUUUGAGUACUCAAAUGGAUUCACAAGACAUCAACGGAGCUUUGAUUGCAAGUGAUUGAGUUGAGAUUCAACAUGGAUGACGAAUUUCACCGAAGAGUGAUCGUUUGUUUUCACGAAGGGGAAGACGGGAAGGAACAGAGGAAGAAGAUGGGUGAGUGGAGAUGGUGCCGACAAGGGGCAGGAUGCUGCGACGCCGGUUGGGACCAGGAUGCAGCGGUGCGGGAGGAAGCCAGCCACGGCGCCGGCUGGGGCUAGGAUGUGGCGUCGCGAGCGGAAACCGGAGGGGCUCACGAAUCCUCGUGCAGUUGGGGGGCAGGCGCGUCCGAGGCUCCGAGCUCCGAGCUGCUGCAGCGUCCGGGCAGCGGCAGGCCGCAGCGCAUGGCGAGGAGGUAGAGCAGGACGGCUUAGUGCAGCAAGUGCCAGAGCAGGCGGUGACGCGGCCUAGCUGGGGCUGGAAGGACUCUCGAGUGGACAGCAAAUGAGUCAAGGCAGAGAAGAAUGGAGUCAAAGCCGUGAAAGGAUAACGGAGAAAAAAGAAGGGAUACAAAUAUAAUAGAAAAGAAAGAGCAAUUGUUGAUUUAAUCAAUAUAUUUUUUAUUUUAUGCGAAAUCAUAUUAUAAAUGGUAGGAAAACAUAAAAUUCAUUUGUUUAUAAAGGCCUCCUCCAUUUAUUUAUAAAGGACUCCAGGCGUAUUACAAACGUUUCUUACCAAACCUACAGUUUCACGGCUGUUUCAACCAAACGGCUUUCAGCUUUUUCACAGCUCACGGCGACUUUUUCAUAGCCUACAACAAUUUUUUUCAUAGCCUACAGCAGCUUUUUUCAUAGCUCACAACCCAACCAAACAUACCUUAAGUAGGUGGAUGUGAAAGUUAGGACUGCCACGAGGAGGGAACUGAUUUAGAGAUGCAUACAUGUGUAGCAUAUAAAAAAGUGACAUAUCCUUGCCUGAGGGUUGUAUUAGAAUAGGCAGGCCCUAGCUAACAAUCCCUUGGCUUCAUAUUGCGUGGCGCCACAUGGUGCAAACCUCGUGUCCAGCCUUUAGAGUGAACGAUCUUUUGUGUGCACGCUUGGCACUCUUAUCCUUAGCCUUCUUGUGACAUAGCCAAGGAGGCGCAUCAUCUUCUUUCAUAGUAACCUUUUUGUUUUCACCUCUGUUGAUUUAAUUCAAACCACAAAAUACUAUGAGGGAAGGGCUAAAAAACACUGUGCACUUACGGCGGGACAUUAAUGGUAGCAUAAGUACAAGAAUGGUGGCAUAUAUAACUGGUGCUAACAAUAACCGGGACUCUUGUCGGCAAGGAACUUAACGGGUGCUCCAAAGGUGAAAUAGGGGUAGUCUUGGUGACCAUCGAUACCAUUGGAUAUUUUUUUAACUGAGUUGAUGAUUUUCUUUACUUAUUGCAUUUAUGUUUGCAUAGUUACUUCUUGUGCUUAAGUGUUUACUUUUGUAGAGUAGUCCUCUAGGACUUGAAACUAGGUUGCAAGCCUCUUAGAGAUAGUCACACUAGGUAAGUUCAGAGGACAACUAUAUAGAAAUAUUGUAGGCUUAUCUUGUGAAAGUUUUAGUUUGGUGGAAAUUUUAGCUUCGGAGCCCAAUAGUCCUAACUUCCCAAUUCAUCCUCUCCCUCUCACAAGUCACAAUGAUUCCCUGUACCACGUCGCAAGUGAUGGGUGCCAUAAAAAAGGAGGUCACAUUUUUUUUCUUCUUUCCAUGUAUGAGAAAAAUGUAUAUCAGGUACAUGUACAUCACCUUUGCAUUUCUAACAUUUGUAUAUAUAUCUCGUACAUCACUUUGCAUUUCUCAUGAACAUGUCAUGUUUGUACAUGCAUGUAUGUAGCUAGUCCAUUAGAGUGUAAAUAUCUCUACUAUAAAUUCUUCCAUAUUUGAAAGAAAGGAGCACUUCAAACUUAUUACCACCUUUAAGCUUAAUUACUAAACAAACAAGCAUUAUAAUCUACUUGGUAAUGUAUUUUUUGUGACCUAUUACCCCUAUGAGGUAAGAGGUCCCAUCUUUUAAUCCUAGCCUAUGCAUGGUGCACAUAAUGUGUAUUUGAUUCGGGAGUACCUUAAAAGAUCCAAAGUAUGUACAUCAUGCAAAAAGUAUAUAUAUUUAGUGCCAUGCAAAUCACCAGAAAAAUAUAUAAAAAGUUCAUGAUCAUUAAUAUGGAAGUACGGACUAAGACAAUCAAUUAUGUUAGAGAGUGGAAUCAAGAGAGAUAUCUAGAGUUGCAUACAGUGAAGCACUAGAGUUAUGAAACUUCCUGAAGAUGAAGUCAACUAAUAGUAGCCAAAAAAAAAACCGAGCACCGGUAUCAUGCCAUCCUGUGUGCUUGUGUGACCAUACGACUAGUGUACAUUAAAAAUAUAUUUUUAAAAUCACGAUUCAGUAUGACUUGAUAUCUUUGACCUACUAUUAAGCAAUCACUAUUUGACUCGAUAUCAAAGUCGGUUUUCCAAUUAAUUGAAACAUGGGUCAAAAGAUUCGCCCAUGAUCUAUAAAUACCACCUUUGUGCUUGUCAUUCUUUGCAUCCCAAGAGCCCUCUUCAUAGUUCAUAGUAACCAGUAGCAAUUGUUGUAGGACACAACACUCACCCCCCCAUGGACUCUACCAAGUCCAACGGAGAGUGGAGUGCCUCUGAGAUCAACAUGGUGAAAUCACUCAUCACUAGGUACAAUGCCAACAACAGUUACGCUGAUGAAAUGAACAAAAAGCAUCACAACAUUGUUAAUGAGAUCCAGACAAUGUUUCCGAUGAAGGAGAAGCAUCAAGCAAUCAGCUUGUAUGUUGAUUUGGUGGUACAGAUGAUGCAAAGUGGCACCGGUGAUGGCUCCGUCCAGCACUCUGUGGCAGCGAGCGGGGACCUUGUGAGCAACAACUUUGAAAUUCAGGUGGAAGAUCCACCCAUGGACAACAUGGACAUGUUGCUUGGCUAUCCAACAAUGGAUACAGGGGCCUUAAGGGUGGCAAGGGAGGUGCCAAGUAGGCAGCCCGCUCCUCGGAUGGCAAGGCUGCACACCAGGUUUUGGACCAAGGCGGAGCACAGGUUAUUGAUUUUCUAGAUAUCUUUAUAUUCUUUACAUACACAAUCUGUGAUCAUUUUAUUUAUUUUGCAUUUUUUUGGAAAUGGUUGGCAUGCAUUUCUUUUGAAUUAUUACAUAUAUCGCUAGGGAACAGGGUUAGUGUUUGGGAUUUUUUUAGAAUUGAUGCUAUUGGGCUUAUAAAGAGGUUUGCAGAGAAGGUGAGCAAUAGUGGGGGCGCUACAAGGCAUGGUACAGUAGACUACAUGCACUUGAGAAUAUGCAUGAGCGGAUACGAUGGCAGUAGGGCAGCUUGAAGAUGAUAGGUUACCAAGGGAGAGGUAGAGGGAGCAGACCUAGCGGCAAUCGAAGUGCCAAAAAUGGCAGAGAAGUGUCAGUGGAAGCAAGAAGUGACUGCUCAAAGAGUGAAAAGGAAAAAAAUAAAUAGCCAUUCAAACAAUAGCAUAGCUUAGUGGAGUAUUGAUUAUCAUGAAGCACAUAUAUCUAGUGUUGUUUUAACUGCUUUUGAGCAUAUCAAGGAGAUCUAAAUUCCUACCUCAUUGGUUCAUCCAAAACCCUAUCUCAUUUCAGGUUGUUCCUUCGCGGUCUGCAAGUGUACGGCCGUGGCAACUGGAAGAGCAUCUCUAAGUACUUCGUUACCACAAGGACACCGAUGCAAGUCUCUAGCCAUGCCCAGAAGUACUUCAAGAGGCUGAAGAAUGCUGCCCGUAGGCAACGCUAUAGCAUCAACGACGUUGGCCUCUACGAUGCUGAGCCCUCAGUGCAAAACAACACUUCCAGCUGGGAAGGGCUCACCUUCACCAAAGGCGCCUACGCCACCCCUAGCCCCUAUGGUGCUAGUGGUCAGCACACCACCAUGAACAAUGUGGCCCAAGUCAGGUCGCCCAUCCUUAACCAUGCCAGCCAUGCUGGAACCAGCAACCAGGCGGCCGUCGGGGCUGGUGACCAAGAGAUGGGGACUACUAGUUCUUAUGUGGCUCCUAUGACGGAGGGGGAUGGGGGCUUGCAAGAGGCUUUGGCUGGUGAUCAUCUGGGCGAUUUCCUUGAUGACCUAAUGAUGAAUAUGGACAUUUUCUAGGUUUCACAUAUGGUCUAGUAUCCUUAUAAGGUGCAUGGCAAUCUAGAUUAUUGUUGAAGACAAUAUAUUUACAAGCACCACUCCUACUAGUAAUUGGGAGUGAAUUAUAAUUUCGUAGCUAUAAACAUAGCAACUUGUAUUGAUUUGGUACCGUUAUAUGUAUUUGUUCGUGUUUUAUUAUUGUGGUGCUUGUAUUAUUUGUUUAAUAUAUCGACUAUAGUUAUAUGGACAUUACCGUGAGCUUAUACUUAAUAUAUAUGUAUUUUAUUGUUAACUAUAGCUAGGACAUCCUCAACCUCAGACCUCACGACGCUUCUCUUGACUUCUACUCCGUCUGUUCCAAAUUAUAGGUUGUUUUAGGUUUCCUGGAUUCAUAGAUGUUGUUAUACAUCUAGAUAUACUGUAUAUCUCACUACUGGGGAUUCCACAUGUACCGGUUGGUAACCCCCCUUUAGUACCAUUUAGUACCGGUUGUCCAACCGGUAUUGGCAAUUCCGGUACUAGAGAGGACCUCUAGUAUCGGUUGAAAUAACUGGUACCAAAGGGUAUUAAAAAAUUAAAAAAACAAAAUCCUCCCACCCGCCGGCCCCUAAAAGGAUCUAGGAUGUCUACUAGAGGGGGGUGAAUAGUCGAAUCUGAAAAUUUUACACGUAAAAUAAGGUUAUCAAACACGUCCGGGCAAAAAUUUCGGAAAUUUCUGGAAAAAUCUUCAGAUUUUUUCGGAUUUCUACGAAAACAACUACAACCUUAAGGUUGACCUGUUAGAUUUUAGAUCGAUGAAUAUAGGUUAUUCCACAUGUUGUUCUAAGACUUUUCAGCAAGAUAUAACAGCUUCAAACACACUAGAAAAGGAGAUCGAGCACAAACCCUAAAUAUGUGUUCUAUGCAAGAAUCCAUCUGUGUGCAAGUUUGAAUUAUGUGCCUUCCUAACUACAACGUUUGUAUGCCACACAAGCACUAGCAAUGACAACACGCAAGAUAGAAAUCAAAAUUUAUCACAAUGUGCACAAAUGAGAUGGAACUGAUGCUUGCCUUGUUGUGCUUGCGUCUUGCAGGAGUUGUACGCAGCUCAUAGCGACGGGCUUCAGGUGGAGACCAUGAUGAUGUAGAGGAGUGUGCCAGUGUUGCCGCCUUUGUUAGGUACCCCAGUGUAAGUUCCCUUUUUUUAGAAUUGAACUCAACCAAUUAGAGUCAAUCAUUCAUGGCUCAGUUAAUUAAAGAAAAAUUAUAAUCCAACGCCAUGUCUCCGUUCAAGUUUAACAUAGCACUUGGAACUAAAUAUACAUUUGCUCUUUGCCAUAUGGCAACUAUAGUAACGAUUCAAUUUUACUCAACCAAACGGCCUAAACAGACCCUAGAUAAACAACCAGUCUUGUACCUUUCCCAAAGCCCAGUCAGCAGAAUCAAAGUAAGCUCUUUCAUGGUCCUCAUAUGAAAUUUUAAACAUAGGUAAGAGGAUAUGGACAUUAGAGACAAAAAUAAAUUAACUUCUCUUGUUGUGGUGAAUGCAUACCAUCUCUUUCAUUAUGAUUAGAAGCUUCUACUUUCUCAUCAGAUAUAACACAAAUAUGAUAUAAAUCUACUUUCUCAGGACAGUUACGGAAUUCAGACAUAAAUCUUGACAUGAUGAACAAUAUCAGUUUGUAGGAUACAUACAAAUCACUACAUCCAAAUAACAGACUAUUUAAGCUACUGCGGACGGGGAGUCCAGUAGCAUUAAAACUUGGAUCCUAUGUGUAGGAUCAACCCCACUUAAUAAUUCAGUUACUAAAGAAAUGCUUUGUGAAAACCCUUUUGAAAAUGAACCCUUGCGUGUGUUGAAAAUCUAGCUUUAUUGCAAAUAAACCUUAGCCUUAUCCUUGAUAUAUCCUGUGCAUAUUCUUGAUUGUAUCCCCCUCCGUGGAUGAGGUUGGACUUGUUGAGUACUUUUGUACUCACCCUUGUUUUGUUGCUUCAGAGGAAGAUCCGAACUUCGUUGCCGAGGAUUUCGAGUAGGAGGUCGCUUCCACACCCAACGCUGCAUGUGGUGUUGGCCUUUGCAGAAUGCUUCCGCUGCCGUAUAGUCUCGAGUGCUGUCUCUUGGCAGUAGCUUGCUCACUGUUGUUGUUUAUUUACUUAUCGUGUCGGCGUGGCUUUUGCGCCCACUCUCUCGAAAGUUGUACGGUUUAUGAACCAUCUGUUGAAUAAAUGUGUUAUCAGCCUCCUGGGACUGAUAUUUGUAUCACAUUUAGUCUCUACUUAUGUGGGGACGCUUCAGUUUGGCAUGGUAUGGGGCUUCACUGGCCUUCGUUGAGAGUUGUGAAACUUGAUGGGCUUGUUGUAUUCUUGCUUACCAACAACUUUUGCCCCCAAGUUGCUUCAUGCCAUGUACCACUCUUCUUACCCCCAUGCCUGUAGUAUGAUUGUUCUUCACAAAUGGAAUGAGCUCAAUUGAGCCUUGCUCAAACUUACCUAGCCCCUUUCCAUCUUUGAAGUCAAAUUUUUUCAUGUAGCUUGACCCAAAACCCUUGGUAUGAUUUUCAAACUCACCUCUUUUUGGUGUGUUCUUCUCCUCAUUGAGAUUUGAGUUUGACAACCUAGCAAUCUCAUUCUUCAUAACAUUUAUUUGGGCAAUGUUAGUAGCAUAAGCAUUUAUAUUAAUGUUAUGACAUCUUGCACAACCAUUACUAGUAGAGGCACUAGAAGAUAUGGAUGCACUCUUCUUGCACAACCAUUAGAGCUAGAUGAUGUACUCUUCUUAACAAUAUCAUGUUGAGCUUCAAGUGCCAUAUGUUUGGCUUUCAAACUAGUGAGGUUCUCUUGAAGCUAAACAUUUUCAUCCUUAAAACUAGCACUAGUGUCCUUAACCAAAAAAAGCUCCUUAGUUAGUUCAUCCACUUUCAUCUUCUCUUUAGCAAGAGAUUUCUCAAGGCUAAGAAUUUUAUCAACUUUAGUAUUGAGCAAGUCCUCUUGCAUCUUGAACCCCUUUUUUUCAUUUUCAAGAGACUUUUCAAGGGCAAUGGUUUUCUCUCGCUCAAGCCUAAACAACUGUUCUUGCACCUCAAGAGUCUCAUCCCUAUCUUCUAUUUCCAUCAUCAAUUUCAUUAUUCUUUUAGAUGCUUGUUUGCCUAAACCUUUUAAAUCAUUUUCAUCAUCACUAGCAUUACCAUCAUCAUCAUUAUUGUGAGAGAGAGUUUUGGAGUCUACCUUUGGCCCUCUAGCCAUGAAGCAAGUGUGGGUGAAGCCAUCUUCAUCAUCAGCAAGAUCAUCAAAUAGAGAUGACUUGGAGAUUGGGGCUUCAAAUGCCAUUGUUGCCACACCAACCUCCUCAUUGGAGUCUGAGCUUUCUUCAUUUGAGUCCCAUUCUUGACCCAAAUGAGUUUCACCAACCUUUUUAUUGUACUUGCUCUUGUCACGCUUGGAUGUGUCAUUUCUCUUUAUCUUGACAUCUGGGCAAUUAGCAAUAAAAUGGUCCUCCUUGCCACAUCCAAAGCAUGGCCUCUUUGACUUCCUUUUACUCUUUUCUUUGUCUUUGUUCUUCUCAAAGAAGCCACCCCUCUUCAUCAUUCUCCUUACUCUUUUCAUGAAUAAGGCCAUCUCUUCCUCAUCCAUGCUCUCACUAUCACUAUCAUCAUCAUGUUUCUUGACGGUGGCCUUUGAUGAUGAGCUUGCUUCCUUUUCCUUGCUCUUGUGGAUUGCCUUGAGUGCUACCCCAUUGUUCUUCUCAAUUUGCUUGUGAAUCUUGGAUAUAUUAUGGGGUAGCUUGGAUUCCUUGACGGUGAUAAGGUGCUCUUCAAUUCUUCCAAUCACGUCUGCCGGCGUGAACUUCUUGAGUCCUCUCUUCUCCCUGAUCAAGAUUGGGAGUUGAACAUCUCUAGCCAUGUAGGCUGAGAGGAUCUUGUCAACCACUUCUCUUCUUCCUCACUUGUCACUCCCAAGAGACCUUAUCUUGUUAAUUAUUUUGUUCAACCUAUUGAACAUCUCUUGGGGUGUUUCAUCUUCCUCAAUGAUGAACCGAUUUAGUUCACUUUCCAAGACUCUAAUUCUUCCUUGUCUAACUCUCUAUGUGCCUUGGUGGUUGAUGAAAAGAGUGUCCCACACUUCUUUGGCGGAUUGCAAACCAUCCACCUUAUCAAACUCUUUGGCACACAAGGAGCUCUUGAUGAGAUGUAAAGCUUGAUAAUUGUGUUGAAAGUCAAGAGCUUGAUCUUGUGAGAGAGUAGCAUCUUCGGGUGGAAAAGUGAUACCUACACUCACAAAAUUCCAAAAUGCGGCAUUGACCGCCAUCAAAUACUCCCUCAUCGAGCUUUUCCACUUGGCAUAGCUUAUCCCGUCAAAAUGAGGUGGCUUUCCCAAGUGAAUUGACCGGAUGAGGUAUUAACAUUUAAACGAUUGUAAUUGAAAGGGAUUUGAUGAUACUCCCUUCUUGAACCGCAAGGUCCGGAGCGAGUAGACCUUGCAUCAUCGUACUCGGAGUCAUCGGAGGGGGAUUCGUCACUAUCAUGACGCCUCCUCUCACUUGUGCUUGCUCUACCAACACCUCCACCUUGAGCACUUGUUGGUGCUCCUUGUGGUACCACAGGUUGUUGGGUGGUGGUUGGAUUGGAGAUGUCACCUCCAAUGGCCACAUCUUGAUUCCUUGACGUCGACAUCUUGAUACUCCAAGCGGUUAGGGUUUAAUCCAAAGACCAAAGCUCUGAUACCAAUUGAAAGGAUCUGAGAUGUCGACUAGAGGGGGGUGAAUAGUCGAAUCUGAAAAUUUUACAUUUAAAACCAGCUUAUCAGACACUUCCAGAAAUUUCUGGAGAUUGUUCCAGAAAUUUCCAAAAAUUUUGAAAAUUUUUGGAGAAAUUUUCGGAUUUUUUCGGAUUUCAAUGAAAACAACUAUAACCUUAAGAUUGGCCUGUUAGAUUUUAGAUCGACGAAUAUAGGUUGUUCCACAUGUUGUUCUAAGCCUUUUCAGCAAGAUAUAACAACUUCAAACACACUAGAAAAGGAGAUUGAGCACAAACCCUAGAUAUGUGUUCUAUGCAAGAAUAUACAUGAAAGCAAGCAUAACAAGUAAGAGAGACACAAGGAUUUGUUACCGGAGUUCAGCUUCACACCGCGAAGCCUACAUCUCUGUUGAGGACCCACAAAGGGUGGGCUUAUAUCACCAAGCCACUUUCCUCCCUCUAACGACCACAAAGAUCGAGCUAGAGUCACUUACUCAAUCGAAGGGGUAAUACAAACUUCCCGGGAUAGCCACAAAGCUUGGAUGCUCAUCCGGACGAUGCCUAGCCGGCUAGAAGCUUGAAGCUUCAAGAGUAACAAACACGAACCACCGACUUGACGAAGAACGAAGGUGCUCGAGAGUUGGAGUUGCAGCUCUCUAGCACAAUCCCUUGCCCACUCACCAAUCUCUGCUCAAAUUCCCACCAAAUCUCACAAGGAAGUCAAAGGGGAGCAAGGAGGGAGCUUUAGAGUGUUUCUGCAGGUCAGAACAGUAGAGAGGCAAGAGUGGGUGAAAGGGAGGGGGUGAGGGGGUAUUUAUACCCCUUUACUCCAAAACUAGCCGUUAUAACAAAGAUUGCGAAAAUUUCCGAAACUUUCUCCGGAGAUUUCUAGAAUCUCCGUAAUUUUUCGAGAAAACUUCUGGAAAAAUCCAGACCUCCGGAGACUCUCCGGAAACUCUCCACUUCCGGAAUAUUCUGGGAAAACUUCCGAAAAAUUCUGGAUUUCUCUAGUUAGCACUUCUAAUUAUCUCCAUGUGACGUGCAAGUGCAAAUGGUGUCUCUCAUAGGUUUUGUUAGGUCAUCUUGAGCACCUUUUUCAUCAUCAAGACCAGAGAUCACGCAUCCCUAUUAAUAGUGAGGCAUUCCUAAACUCAAAUUCAAACCGAAAAUAAAUUUAAACUAGAUAAGAUGCCGCUCAACAUUUCAUUUCCUUUUGAGGGGUCCAUCACAAGUGCUCCAUGACCAAUAAUCCAUUUAAAACUGCUUAUGCACUUGAAUUUUGUUAGAUACUUAAGCUUUUGUCAUUAAAUUAGCAAAACCCACUUAGGGGGCCAAAGAUACUCUUCAGCCCGCACCCCCACCGUCGGCCCCCUUCGCCAGCCCCUUCCGCCGGCCCCGCACCCCCGCCAGCCCGCCCGCUCGCUCCGCCUCCGCCCCUCCACCCCAUCGCCCGCCGUCGCCGCCGCCGCUGCUCCUCACCGCCGGUGAGGGACGGAGGAGGGAGGGGAGGGGAGGUAGUAGAGGAGGAGGAGGAGAUGUGUGUGUGUGAGAGAGAGAGAGAGGGAGGAGGCAGUGUAGAGGAGGAAGGGAUAAUGAGGAGGUAGUGUGCACGGGGGAGGAGGGCGUCGGGAGAUUUAGUACCGGGUGGAGCCCCCACCCGAUACUAAUGUGCCUUAGGGCAUCUAGUACCAGAUGGAGCCCCCACCCGGUAAUAAAGGGGGUCACGGGGGACUUCUCAGGAACUAUCCGUUCGGUUCGGUACUAAUGCUAACAUUAGUACCAGGCUCUACUUGGACCGGUAUUGAGGCCGUGGACGAAAGGUCCAUUCCCUAGUAGUGUCUAGAUAUGUAGCAACAUCUAUGAACCUAAAAAAGCUAAAACAACCUACAUUUUGAAAUAGAUGGAGUAUUUGAUACCACACCCCCCUGUCAUCAUCGUGCACCCAUCCCUUCUCACUGAUCAUUCCAUUUUGAAACUCUCCCACCAUGAUCGUCUGGGCACCCCAGCCAGCUUGUUGCAAGGAGAGAGCUCCUCUCGCUGAGGAGUCCAUGAGCAGUGAGCACUGUGUCUAGGUGUAACUUUUGUUGGAAGGCGCAUUCUUCCUGUAAACACUAGCGAUAACAGUGCAAGGCGUGUUUGUUUCAGCUAAAGUAGCUGUUUGGCAAUCUGGUUUCUGGUCUAUGGCCUAGGCCUAAUCCAUGCACAAAUUAAAACCCCUCCUUGUGGACUCCACCUAAUCCCUGUGCAAAACCUCUCCCAUCCUUGUGGACUUGACCUAAUCCAAACGCAAAUAUUCCCCACGGUCUUCUUGUAAUGUGUAAACAUUUGUACCACAAUCUGGCAUGAGCUGAUGGGAGAUAUGGAUUGCUAGAUCGUGCAUCCUUUUGGGCAUGAUUAUAGAAUCAGAGAAAAAAAUGCUGCAUUUUAGCAAAGAACAAAGACCCUAAAACUACACUUUUCUGGCGCAUCAGAGGACCUGAUGGUGUUAAAAACUUGCAUCUCGAAGCAAACGCAAAAGGAUAUAUUGGAUCAUCCAUACAGUACAAUUACAAAUGGUCCACAGCAUUUUAGCAUACAAUUUCUUAAGCAUAGUAGUUCAAGCUCGACUUCUUCUUGGCCUGGACUUGUAUAAUUCCUUCGUUGAAGUCCUCGUGAGUCACCUGCACAUGCAGACACCAGCCUCAGAAACUACAGCAAGCAAUCAUCCCAACGAGAAUGCAAGAAAAAAUUGAACUAAUAUCAACCUAUAGAAACCAUCCUACUUUGAUGAACGUGUCAUUUUUUUCCAAUAUCAUUGUGCUUUCGCAUUGAUAACAAGUAUAAUAAUCAAAUGAAGCAAAGCAAGUCACCUCUGUAGCAUCCCGCCUUAGGGCAAGCAUACCAGCUUCCACACAAACUGCCUUUAGCUGUGCACCAUUGAAGUCAUCUGUCGAGCGAGCCAACUCUUCAAAGUUGACAUCAGGAUUUACAUUCAUCUUUCUCGAAUGAAUCUACAGAGAACCACACACACAUUAGUUGGAGCAUGACCUAGAAAACCCAUUGACAAACUUAAGCAAAUUAGACAUAAUAAGUUGUGGAGACCUACUUGCAAGAUUCUAGCUCUUGCUUCUUCAGAUGGGUGAGGGAACUCGAUCUUUCGGUCCAAACGACCAGAUCGCAUCAGAGCAGGGUCAAGGAUGUCAGCACGGUUUGUUGCAGCUAUGACCUUUAUUCUCUCAUCGCUGCUGAACCCAUCAAGUUGAUUCAGCAAUUCCAACAUAGUCCGCUGAACUUCUCUGUCACCGCUAACUUCACUGCAGGCGCACACAACAAAAUUCUAGUUACCCUACAGAAGAUAUUCUUUUUUCUAAUAAGAACGUUUUAUUUGGACAAAAAAAAUAAGUUUCUCUAAUCUUAUGCACAAGAUUAAGGCCUUCAGUACAUAAAGGGUACAAUAAUCAGCCGAGAUUAAUGCAGGAAUAAAACAAUAUAACACAAACUGUCAUAAAGACAUACCUAUCAAACCGCUUGGUACCAAUGGCAUCUAUCUCAUCAAUAAAUAUAAUACAGGGAGCUUUCUCUUUGGCAAGCUGAAAUGCAUCCCGGACAAGCUUUGCUCCAUCACCAAUAAACAUCUGAAACAGCAAAAGAAUGUCAUUACUACUCUACCUGGAAACUAUGCUCAAGAUAACAGAAUAAAUAAACAGAUUUUGCAUGGCAAAGAAUCGUCUCAUGUGUGUCCCUUCAAAGAUAGGGUCACAUGGUAAGCUAGUCAUGCAAUCAGAUGACAUUUUAGUCAAACCACUUAACCAUGCUUUGGUCCACAAAUGCCAUAGCAUACAUACAUUAUAAAUGAAAUGCAAAACCCUGAAUUAAUUCAUUAGGUGUGUCAUUCAACUGACUAAAAAUAUGGUAUAGAAAAUGCUUACUAAAACAUUCAGGAACACACUAGACCCGAACAAGUUAACCAACAAUAUUACAUCCAUGUCCCAAAGCCUAAAGGUAUAAGGCACAAAACAAGACAAACUAGCUUCUGAGAACUUUGUUACUAUAAGAGAAUACAUUUCCAGAACCAAAAUGUUGCACAGGUGACAACUGAAACCAACAACAUAACAGCAUUUCCUGAAACAGGAGUUGAAGGGAAGAAACCACAAAAACAUUCAUGUACAUAAAAAUUAACUUGUAUGGUGCGAUGGCGCAAUAACAAGUACUCCCUCCAUCCCAAAUUAAUAUUCGUUUUGACUUUUCUAGGUACAUAGAUUUUGAUAUGCACAUAGAUAUAUACCAUGUCCAGAUACAUAGCAAAAGUAAUGUAUCUAGAAUAGCUAAACCGAAUUGUAAUUUGGGACAGAGGGAGUAGCAAGUAUCACACAAAAUCGAAUUAACCUGAGUGAUAAAACAGAGCUCCUCAAGUAAUAAUUACCUGGACCAGUUGUGGACCAGCUAACUUCAGAAAAGUUGCAUUAGUCUGUGCGGCACAUGCACGAGCCAUGAGUGUCUUCCCUGUUCCUGGUGGUCCAUACAAAAGAACUCCUUUUGGAGGACGAAUACCCAACUUUUGGAACCGGUCUUUAUGUGUCAUGGGCAGCACAAUUGCCUCCACAAGCUCUUGAAUCUAUAUUCAAGAUGUAGCAAGGAAUAAGAUACAAUAGAGAAGCAAAUGAGUGAAAACAUAACAUUAUUCAUUUUUUAAUGAAUGGACUGGUGCCACCUACACGACUAUUCACUAAAGACCUACAAUUGGCUCUAGAUAUUGCCAUUUACUAAACAGAAAACUUACAAGGUUUCAACAUUCAUAAAGUAAAAUACCUGUUUUUCAAGACCUCCAAUAUCAUUGUAAUCCUCAGUGGGCUUUUCAUCUACCUCCAUUGCCUUCACUCGCGAAUCAUACUCUGAUGGCAGUGUAUCCAGUAUAAGGUAGCUAUCUUUGUUGACUCCAACCAGAUCACCAGGCUUGAGCUUGUCAGGGUCAACUAACCCAACAACAGGAAGGAAUAUAGUCUGAAAUCAUCAAGAUAUAAACAAAAAAUGCAGUUCAUAAGACACUUCUUACUUUAAAGUUGAACUUAAGACAUGAUUCAAUCAAGACAUGGAAGAAUGGGAAUUAACAGUAAAGUAAAAUAUGCAUAAUCCACGCCUGCAAGGCCAUGCUCAUACAGAAGAAAAGACUUUGGCUUACUGAUUAGAGCACAAUGUGACAGCUAAACAAGCAUAUAGCUGCUCUACAGAAUUCUUGAUUUUUCAAAAAAAAAUCCAAUUAUGACUGCUAAAACAUAUUCCUCUUUCAGUUAAUUUAGUUAUAUUAAUGGCAUCAUACAUGCAGCACCCAAACCAUAAAAACAUUAAGCUCAUUUUAGAUCCCAAUAUGACUAGACCUGGCAAGUUAAGACUUAAAUCAAAAUCCACUAUCUAAAGAUCAAAGGAAGCAGUGUAAUCCUGAUUCAACCAUUUUAUUGACUAAUUAUCUUCUAUAGAGGGUAUCCGAUACAUGCCUUUGACAAUAAGCCUUUUUAGUAUGUACGUUAGCAACAAAAAAAUGUUUAACUAUUGAUGACAUGAUUAUACUUUUGAUAAAGAAUUGCUAAAGUAUAUUUUCCAUAUUAUAAAUCUAUUACUCUUACACAUAUUAGUGGUCAAAGAAAAACAUGGAAUAUGAUACAAAAGACAAAAAUGAGAUGAAAAGAGAUUGCUCACUUGUCUCGUGGAGGUCUUCAGAACAACACAUUUUCCUUUCCUUUGUGAGUCUAAAUCAAUGUUAGCACCAUCCUCCUCAGCUUCAUCCUCAGGGUUCAUUUCCAAGAUCUAAAACAGUUGACAAAGGUUGAAAACAAUAAGUAAUACAGGAAAAUAUCCCAAAUUAAAAGAUGUACAGAAAAUCUGCUCACCAAAUGCCAAAGAUCCAAGAAACAAUAAUUGUUUAUCGCACGUCCCAAUAAAGAGGAGUGGAGUAUAGUAAGCUACUAGAUUGCAUCAUACUACAUUGUCCAAGUCAAAGUUUGUUUAAGAUGAGAUACUUGAAUGCUGCAUAUAUAGAUUAAAAAAGAAACUAUAAAACCAUUAAUUCUGCAAGAGCUAAUGUCCUAAUGCGGGUUCAUUUAACUUGAAAACCUAGCUAAUGUCCUCCUGGGGGUUCAUUUAACUUGAAAAUAUUCAAAGCCUCGUGUUGAAACAGACCAGUAAUCAAGUCCCAGUGUUUCUGGACAUUAGAAUUUCUAAUCAGACCAUUGUUUACUCAAACUAAAUAAUCACUGAUGUACACACAAACUACCCUUAACUAGUUUGAAGUGGAUGAAUUUCUAAAGGAGAACAAGAGAAACAUGUGUCUAAGACCUUUAUGCACAUAAGCUUAAAAUGAACAGAAGGAGGGAAAUUUCAAUAAAAUCACAAUAAAUAAGAUCUGGUGUUAGGAUUCCUAACCCGAACAUGGUUACACAAAUUAAAGAAGCAUUACUUUACAGACAAACUACUCCUUACUAAUUUGUGAAGGAAAACAAGCAGAACAUAUGUUUUGUUGCAUUUGUGGGCCUUACAUAUAAAGUUCUACUAACAAUUAGAAUGGAAAAUUUGAGAACAAUCACAAUAAAUAAGGUCACAAGCAGUUCUAUUAGUUUGCUCAAGUUUGAUAGCAAAUCACGUGACCAGCAACAUACAUUUCACUCAUUCACUUCCAUGAUCUUAAAUUAAGAUGAGACACAACAAUAAGCAGCGAUCUAACAAUUCGGAAAGGACUCCGAGGGGGCUGCGGCACAUCCUACCUCAACGAUGUUGCCGACGAGGUAGGGCAGCUGCUUGUUGAGCUUGAUCUUCUCCUGGUUCUCCUUAAUCUUCUCCUUCACCGACUCCAGCUCCAGGUUCGUCCGCUGCAGCUCGUCCUGCGUGCCACCAAAAACAAAACCAUCCCAACGAAUCAGACCCAAACCCUGACGCCGAGCGAGGAUUCAGAACCCCCGGCGCACACCGCGGGGGAUCCGAUCUAGGGCUCACCUUGAGGACGCGGAUCUCGUUGUCGAGGAGGCGGGAGGCCCGGACUAUGUCCUCCGUGGACAUGGAGGCGAGCUGGUCGUCCUCCGCGUCGUCCACGGCCAUCGCUGCCGCCGGGGCGGGGGUGCCGGAUGACGACAUCGCCAGCGGAGCAGGGUUUGGGUUGGGGUCUGCUGCGCUCGCGUCGGGGAAGAGAAGAAGCGAGCUGCUGCAAUGCUGCUGCUGAAGUCGCGUCGGGGUUUGGGUUGGGAACGAUGGAGUUCGUUCUGUUGGGCUUUAUCGUUGUUAUUUUUUUGAGAGAGAGAGAGGGUGGGCUUUAUCGUUGUUGGGCCUUUUCUUUUCGUCUCGAGUGAGCGGCGGGCUCCGUUGGAAACGGAUUCUGAGUACAGAGCUCUUCGUAUUCCUAAUUUGUAUAUUUGUAUACCAAAACGAGAUUGCAUUCUAAAUCUCCUCCUGAGCUGUAUCAGUUAGAGUAACUUAUAGGAAAAUUUUAACUGCAUGACACUCUAAAUAUAUGGAACAGUUCCGCGGAGCACUUGAACGAGCAAUUCGCGUCUUACAUGAAAAUUGAAGAUUGCUUCUAGAUGCAGACAACUUAACAGUUCCUUUAGUUAGUUGCUUGAAGCUUGUUAACAGGUUUGGAACAAACGCUCCAAGAUGAAAAUGCCUCUAAUCUAUCCUGCCCAACGCAAAUUGUAAUAAAAUCAUGGCAAUGACUUCAAGCUGUUUCAGUUAUGAGAUACAUGCAACUUUGUGAAGCUGCUGAAGUUUUGUCUUUCGAAGCAAAUCCAGCUGGAGAGCACCAAAUCACAAGCAGAGAAGUUACUUUUUGUUGUCUUAAUUUUAGUUGAACUAAGCUUCUUUUGGUUGCGUACAGAGCCUGCAUCUCAUUUCUUAUUUUUAACUUGGUUGUGCUUCGGCUUACUUCAUCUUUGCCUAUUGUUUCCGAAAAUGCAAUGAAAACACUGUCCAGCUUGAUAAACUUUGGUUUGACGCUGUUGAGUGCCUGAUCAGCCCGAAAAACUUUGGUUUGGAUGCAGUUUGGUGCCUGAAGAUCAUGAACAAGAAACUUUUCAAGUGGCACUAAAUCACCUGGAUGACACCAUGGACGAGUCGUUGACAGAAAGGAUCUUAUAGCUGCAGCAAUGCUGAAAAAGUGAUUGCACAUGAAGCAAUUCAUUUCAGGUGGUCUGUAUUGCCAAUGUCCGAGAAAAGAACCCAGACAUCAAUUUAGCUGAGCACAUGGACAUGGGAGAUCUAUGUGGAUUUGGCAAAAAAAAACAAUGCAUUGGCACUCUCACCAGUAGGGUAGAUACCAAUUUCUCCUCAACAAAUUAUGUGGAAAGUGAAGUAUUAGGAAGCCAGAAUUUAUAUGGUGGAAAUGCCAAGAAAUAGUUGUCUGAACUCAACACCACUUGUGACUAAGAACUUAAGUUGUUGAUAGUUGUUAUGUGUGUGAAUGAAGGUAAAGCUCAACUCAGUGAUCCCAUUCAAAACAAUACAAUUGUUCUCAAGCUAACAUUAACACGAUGUGAGUCACAUACUAUUGUUAGUUUAUCAAUACAAAGGAAAAAAAAACUAGAGAAUCUAAGUACAGCCUUCAUAGAUGGAAAACACAACUAAUUUAAAUCACAAAGCAGCCAAGUUGUAGACAUCCAGUCAACUUAAAAUACAAGAUCACCCCACUAGCUGCUGCAAGGACCACUUUACUCUGCCAUGGGGACCUUCGCGUUACCACCAUGAACUGCAAGGGUAGGCCAUUCCUUAUCCAGCCGAGAGACCUUCACGCAGCCUAAGGUUGAAACAGCAGGCUGUAAUCGCGUAGUUCUACUUCUGCUAACUCUUGCUUUGGCUUGUCACAAACAUGUUCUUGCUGUUUUGUCUGCUGCUGCUGUGUAAACUCCUUAUUUUCAUCGUCGUCAUCAAUUGCACACAUGAUGUAAAGCCCCAACUCUUCUUUGCUUAGUUUCAGAUUUAGCUUCUUUUUCAGCUGCAAGAGCAGUGACGAGAAAGAGGUAAUUCCUUCACAGCCAAUAUUCCUACAUAAGAUGUGGUGUCUCCAGUUUGUUGUCAAAAUCUCAGAAGAUGAGAUAUCAUCACAAUGGAAGUCCACUGAGAAGCCAUAGCAACCAUACAAUACCAGUCCAUCAUCCAGUAGUAUGUGAAGCUUAUCAACAAGGACCUGGACUGCCAAGACUUUAGCUGAGCUCCGCGACACCAUCAACACUGAGCUCAGCUCGUGCCCUGAUCGAUCCAUGAAGCGACCUCUCUCCAAUCCCUGUCCGGAGGUUUCUAGAUCAAAAUAGCCUUCCACAAACCCCACAGUUUCAAAAGCCUUUGAUGAUGCCGAUAGCGGUGCUGGUGCUAAAAUGGGCAGAACAAACUCACCAUCCUCCACCCUCCGUCGCGUCUCAUGAAGACUUUCUUGCUCGACGCACUUGCAAAAAACCUGCUUGCUGUUGUUCAUGGUCAGCUUGAACUUGCAGUAACAAUGAGCCUUGGCAGCCUGCCUUGCAUUGAUCUCCCACAAGGCAGCAUCCCAUACCCGAUCAGCAUACACAGCUGGCUUCGCUGCCUCCUCUUCCAACCUUCUCCUCCUCUCCUCCUCCUUCCGCUCACAUAUCUUCCUCCUCUCCUCCUCCUGCUUGCGCAUCACAUCUUCCUGCAGCAGUCUCCUCGCCCUCUCUUCCUCUGUCUCCUCCAUCCGCCUCUUCAUCUCUUCAUCCUCCUGAUGAGCCUUUCAAAAUCGCCCUUAUUGUCCAUGUAGGAACUGAUGAUCUAAACCACCACAUAUCCCAACGCAAGCCUAUGCAGCAGCUGUCACUUUUCCUCUCUUUUCUGCGGUGAUUUUCUCUCUCACCAGCUUGGACCAUCAGUUUUCUCACCGAAGAAUCCCCUUUUCCUGCCCAGGCUAUCGGCGCUUCUGCAGAGUACUCUGACGUCCUGCGAAACCCCCGUCUCACGUCGUCUCUCCUCCACGUGGCAUCCGAGCCUACGUGGCUCCGCGGGGCUACCAGCCACGCCGGUGCGAUGGGCCUGCUCUAAAAGAGAACACCCACGUGGAGAGGGGAAUCUGUGUUGCUUAUUUGCUGGUGGCGCCGCGGGCAGCACGGAGCCACGGAGACGGAGGACAGCCAGGUUGCGAGACACUCUGUCUGACACAGCAGGGGGCCAGGGGCAAGACGAUCUCCAAGUGGUCCCGUUCCUUCCGUCCCGCGCCGGUGCCGGCGCGCCGGGCGCGCGGGAGACGGAGCAGCUGCGCCAGCCGCCGGAUAGCUCGACUAGUCGACUCGGCCGGCGCCGGAGUGACCGUGCUGGCCGCAUCGGUCGACCGGAGUGCCCGUGCGCGUAUGCCACGUUGGCUGCAGGCUGCGGAGCGACACCGGACGGCGGGCGCGCGCGCGGCACGGAUCGAGUGCGCCGUCAGGUCGCGGCUGCUACGUGCGCCAGGACCUGCUGCCGUUGCGUACUUCUUCUCCCCCCCCUGGUUUCCUCUUUGUCCCAUCUCUCCGGACUCCCAGUCUUCACCCAGAUACCCACCUCCACUGCAUUAAAUGGAGAGAGGGGAGAGAAGGGGACCACCGAUCAAAGGGAAGCGAAAACUGCCGCAUCACUUAGGGUCUGUUUGGAUCCAAGGGCUAAUUUUUAGCUCUGCACUUUUAGCCCAAAAAUUAGCUCAAGGGAUCCAAACAGGUGGGCUAAAAGUGUCCAAAGAGGUUGAAAUUUGGAGCUAAUUUUUAGCCCCCAAGGAGGCCCUAAAAGCAGCUAAAAGUGAACCUGGACACCCCAUACCCCUCCUGGCGCUCGCGACCCUAGGCACCCCCGCACUAUCCCUCCCCGCACCUGCCCCUCAACCUCAUCCGCAACUCCUCCCCGCACUCUCUUCCUCCCUCCCCGCGUGCUCCUCCCGGCCCCGCCUCCUCCACCCGGCGCUGCCGGCGCCGCGUCGUCGGCCCCGCCACCUCUGCUCUAGGCCACGGUGCCGCCGCCACUUCCUCCGCCUCCGCAUCUGCCCGUCGCCCUCAUCCGCAUCUCCCUCUUCCGCCCAGGCCGCCGCACACCCCUCGCGCCGCCCCGCCAGAUCUCCACCGCCUCCCCCCGUCUCGCCCGAAUCCACCGCUUACCGCCGCCGCAUCCACCCUCUCCCGCAUCGCCGCCGCAUCCAAGGGCUCCCGCAUCGCCGCCGCCGCCCCUCUGGACAGUCACAUUCGGUAGAUCUACACCGCAUCGCCCGACUCCCUCCGCCUCCCCUGCCUCUGACACCCUCCCGCAUCGCCGACGCCACCCCUCUGUGCUGAGCUCACCGCCGCCGCACCUAUCGCCAGAUCUACAUCCCGUCCCCUUCCCUUCGCCACACCAGUUGCCGGAGCACCCGAAACUCCUACAUCCGCGCGCCGCCGAUGGACGGAUUCGGCGACGACGGCACCAGGGACUUCUUCGGCACCAACUUCGACCUCUUCCCCGGCGAGGGCAGCCAGUAUCCGGGGUCGGGAUCCGUCAGUGGUCCCCGGAUUGGCAUUGAGGCGCUGGAUCUCAACUCGCAGGCCAACGACUGGUCGUCGAUGGCGGCGUAUCAGGGGAUCCUGCAAUCCGGCGCACUGGCGGCGUCGGAGAGCACGGGGCCUCAUCAUUCUCAACCGCGUGGCCGUGGAAGAGGUACAUCUCGCGCACUCGGUUUACGCGGUUCUCGGAGCUGUGGCGGAGCCGUAGGAGGCCGCGGCUCAUCCUCGCCGUCCAGUCGCGGCCGCCGCGGUCGGUUGCCACCGGUUGCAGCCGGCGGUCGUGGUCUGCGUGGACCUUCCUCGGCGGCGGCUGGUCCAUCAGUAAGCCGUGGCCGUGCUCGACGUGGUGGCCGGCAAGGCAACGACGACGACGACAACGAAGACGAUGAAGUGCAAGAAGUGUAUCCAAGCCGUCAGGUAAGACUUCCAAACACAUGAUCAAGUGUUGUUACAUUACAAUGAAAUGCUUGUGCUUUUGAUGGGGUUUAGCCAUCACUUGAAGUUCUUAAGAUACAGUAGGAGGUUGCCAGCGCCUGUGCAUAAGCUGUGUGUGUCUGUGUGUGACAGAGACAGAAAAUAGGUUAGAGGGGGGGUACAGAGGUUAGGGGGGUUGCUUAUAUGCAAAUUAGAUGGUAACAAGUGAUGGAUAUGGAUUUGUAGCUACAUUUUUGUUGCUAGACUAACAGCGACCUUUUAGUGUAUUUACUUAAGAGAUAGAAUAUGCAUGUGUACAGGAGUUCUGAUGUUAUUUUUCUUGUGAUGUAUAUGGUAGAAUAAAAUGGACAGGGGAAGUUGGACAACAGAGCAGAAUAACAACCUCUUGUGUCAAUUACUAAUUGAGCAAAUUGAGUUGGGUAACUACAUUAAAGGUAGUAUGACAGCUAGAGGGUACAAGCUUGUCAUAAAACAAUGCACCGUAGGCUACAGAAUCCUAGAUUCUUUCCACACUUCAACAAUUGUAUAGGUGCAAUAGAUGGCACUCAUAUACCAGUUAUCGUGCCAAGUAACAAGGUGGUGCAACAUCUUUGUCGAAAGGGCUUCACUACACAGAAUGUGCUUGCGGUCUGUGACUUUGACUUGAGGUUCACGUUUGUUCUUGCGGGCUGGCCUGGUUCAGUACAUGACAUGAGGGUUUUCAAUGACGCAACAAACAAGUACAAAGACAUGUUCCCACAUCCCCCUCCUGGUAUGUUCUGGCUAUAUGUGCACAUUUACUAAGUUCAUCAUCAUUUGUAGCUUUGGUAUGUAACAAGAAUGUUCGUAUUUGCAGGAAAGUUCUACCUAGUGGACUCUGGGUACCCCAAUCGGCCUGGUUACCUUGCACCUUACAAGGGAACGAAGUACCAUCUUCCAGAGUUCAGACAGGGGCCUACGCCCAAAGGUAUGAAAGAGACCUUUAACUUCGCUCAUUCAUCUCUUAGGAAUUGUGUGGAGAGGUCAUUUGGAGUUCUUAAGAUGAAGUGGCGGAUGUUAUUGAAAGUGCCUAGUUAUCCAAUAACAAAGCAAAGUCAGAUUAUUGUUGCAUGUAUGGCACUUCAUAACUUUAUUAGAGAGAGUCAUAUGGAGGAUGAGGACUUUGCUCGUUGUGACCGUGAUGAGAACUAUGUUCCUCAUGAAGCAUCAACCUCUGAACCCCAACAGCACAAUACUCAAUCAAGGGACGAAGAUACAAAUAUGAAUGCAUUCUGUGAUCAAAUAGCCUCAAAUUUGUAUAAUAGAACGUAGAGUAUUUUAUUUCUUGUAGUUGAUCGUAGAGUUUUUGAAUUGUAUGUUUGAACAAGGAUGUAAUUGUACGAAUAAAAACUGUUCACUGUCCAGGAGGAACAGCAUCGUGUUCCUCCUGGCCGGCGCCUGUUCCUCCUGGACAGCGCCUGUGCAUGGCGAGAGGAAUGGCCUGGGCGUGACAGUGUCUGUGCAUGGCCGGAGGAAGUGGAGUGCAUAGCGUGCAUGUGCAUGGCCAGAUGAAUUGGAGUCCUGGGCGUGCAUGUGCAUGUGCAUGUGCAUGUGGAUGGAUUAAUUUGAGAUAUGAAUGUUGUUUGAAUCAAUAAAUGAGGGCAAAUCAGUCUUUAGCUCAAGGAAUAUUACCUUUUAGCUCUUGGAUCCAAACACCUCACAAGGACUAAAUUUUAGCCCCUUUCAAGGGCUAAAAUUUAGGGACUAAACUUUAGCCCAUAAACUCUGGAUCCAAACAGCACCUUAGAGUGAAAUGAAGCCUCAAAUUACGAUGCAAGUUUCAUUUUUGUUAUUUCAUAGGCAGCUAUUAUAUUUAGGUCCUGUUUCCACCCUCCUAAAACUUUAGCUCCUAAAAAGUGAUUAAAAUAUGACUAAAGAGCCAAACACUAUGACUAAAAGUGACUAAAAACUUUAAGGAGACUUCAAUUUCUUUAGGAGCUCCACCCCCUCCUAAAAUCUCCUAAAACCUAUCCUGAACUCCCACUGCCCUCAUUUAUUGCCCCCCUCUCUCUCCCUCCCUCCCGCCCAGGCCCUCGCCGUCGUUCCGCCCGCCGUCGGCGUCCCUCCCUGCCCGGCCCCUGCCGGCGGCGUCCUUCCCGCCGCCCGCCGCCGCCGCACGACAACCUCACCCCCGCCGCCCCCGCUCCCUUGCGCCGCCGCACGGGCCGGCCGGGCGCUCCCCCGUCGGAUCCCCGCCGCCGCCGGAUCCGGGCGAGGGAGGACCGGGAGGGGGGGUGGCGGUGCCGGGGAAGAAGAGGAGGGGCGUGGUGGCUGGGAUUCGAGGGGAGGGGGCGGCGCUAGCGGGAGGAGGGGAGGGGCGGUGGCCGGCGGAAGAAGAGGAGGGGAGGGGCGCGGCGGCCGGGUAGGGGUCCGCGACCGGGGGAAGGAGAGAGGGGAGGGGCGCCGGGCGCCGCCGGCGGGGGCACCGAGAGGGAGGGGCGCCGGUGGGAGGAGGGUGUUUGUGUGCAAGGAAGCGGGAGGAGGGGAGAUGUGGGCAAAGAAGGAGCAGGGGUAUGGGGAGGGUAGUAUGGUUAUUUUACCACAAUAUUUAUUGCUUUUAGUCAGUUUUAGGAGGUGGAACCAAACAUGGUUUAGGCCAUGGACUAAAAACUGACUAAAACAUUUUAGGAGCUAAAAUUUUAGAAGGUGGGAAACAAACAGGGGCUUAAUUCAUCCAUGGCAUGGAAGCUUUUAAUUGGACACAUCAUCAAAUGAAAUGAAACUCUAACUCUUAAUGGAAGGUGUGGAAAAGUUUCAUAGCUUGAAAACCGUGUAAACCAAGUUUUAUCCUAUAAAACUCAUUUCCUCUCUCUCUUCAAAAAUAUAAUACCAUGUCACCAUAUUUGUGCAUCUCAUUUAUGAAGAAUGAAACUACCAUUCAGAAUGACCUUAUUUCCUGAGCCAGGCCUGGUGAGCGGAUGGCACGGCAGCCUGCAAAGCAAUUUUAUCCUCAUCUGGCAGAGGGGUCCAAGCCGUGAUAAAUUCCAGGCACAAACUAGUUUGGCCUAGACGUGAUUAAUAAUUCCAAGCACACUAGUACUACUGCUCCAGUAGUUAAACUGCUAAUUGCAAAUUAGUAUGAUUGCUCACUAAUAAAUUAUCCAGGUGUCAAACAAUUGGCAAGUGGCCGGCCAUGCACGCCCGCCCAUGCAAUGCGGACGUAGCAUGCACAUGCACAUGCGGCACCGAUGGAUCGUCGCAAAAAUGGAUGGAGGCUUGUAGUAUUGGAGAUACGGCGUGCAUGGCGGACGCAUGUGAUGGUACUGCUAGUACUCGCUUCAUCUAGUGUGAUCAGUGCAAUUACUGCUAAUUGAUCAGCAUGAUAAUUGAUUAGUUACGUGCUUGGCGAUGCUCGCAUUGAUUUGCUGCAUGCAUGUAUGCAACCCGGCCGCAGCACGCACGCAUGCAGCGUUGCCUUGCCGGGGCGUGAUCGUUCAAGCCGAUCGACUAACCACGCAGCCCGGCCGGCUCUCCCACGUACCCUGACACAAAAAAAUUGCAGAAAAGUAGUGGCAGCUUGAACCGAGCAGGGAACCCGGGCGCCCGAACCACCGCUGCCUACCUCCGUGCCUGAAGGCUGACGCACGUACCGCCUGCCAGAGGCCUGCUCCCGGGUAGCUUUUGCCGCCGGUCACGGCGCCCGCGAGAGACGGACGGGGAGCUUCGUCGGAGGCGCAGGACCGGUUGAUCGAUCGAUCGAUGGCGCCGCCGGCCGGCCUUGCUGACGUGAUGCGUGAUCAACGCCGCCUGCCAUAGUGCCAUAAACCGCGCUCGCGAGCGUGGACGUGGUCGACCAGUUUGAUGGGUGUGUGUAAUGUGUGCGAUCGCGAGAGAGACGCGCGCUUGCAUUGCUCCAUCAUUCAUGGGCUGGAAGGGGCUAUCUACUACCACUUGCAUUGCAUCUCCCACGCACCCACGCGUGCUGCAUCGCUCCGAUCCCUCGCCUGGAGACGACGGACGAAAAAGCAAGGCCCUCUUCUGGCGCGCGCUCGCGCCUGGAGACGUUGCUGCCGCGCGCCUAGCAUCCUUGCUGGAGGAGAAACCGGCUGGGGCCAGUCACGCAGGUCGCGGCGCUGUGUAAGGAGCGCGAAGUGGAGCAAAAAGCAACACGGCAGCCUCUUCAUCUAAAAUUUGAAGGUGCGACGCGAUAUUUUAGUUUUAGAGUCCGGCUCUUCACGUGGUGCUCACCUAUAAGUCCAGCCGCACUACCUUUCACAAAGUAGCGGACUGUCAAACUGAUUCGUGUGCAACAAAUUUCAGUCAAUUUCUCUAAAAUUUUAACGUGUGAACGCGAGAUUUUAGCUUUAGGGUCCAACUCUUGAUGCGGGACCCACAUAUAAGUCCAACCACACUACCUUACAUAAAAUAGCGGACUGUCAACUGAUUCAUCUGCAACAAAUUUCAGUCAAUUUCUCUAUAAUUUUAAGGUACGAACGUGAGAUUUAUAUAAACUCAUAGGUUCAUAUAUCAAACCCAUGGGUUAUAUCAAUUGGUGGGACGGGUUGGGUUGGGUUUAGACAAUAGAAUUAUGGAGUGGGGCAUGGUGGGUGAAUGAGUUAAUUUAUUGUGGAUUGGGACGGGUUUCAACCCAUUAGCAGGCCUAGCUACUACUAGCUGGUGCAUUGGCAACAUAUCUGCACACUAAUUGCGGGCUAACUGAUUUCUAUUCGCAUCCAUCCCAUGCGGCUUAGCUCUCCUAGUUCGUCUCCAUGGGUAAUCAAAACACAUCUGGCUUGGCUUCCAAAGAAGAGGCCACCUGUGACUUGAAAAGACUGCCCAGAAUCGAUGAUCCAAUCCUCCUUGUAGUUAACUGUCGGAUCAGUUGUUGCUGCAAAAGCAGGUGCCUCCAUGUCCUUCUCCAGCUCAUCUUCUUCAACGUCCUGAGAAAACCCAGCUUCAACAUCCCACUCUUCUUCACUAGUGUAUGCCUCCUUUUUCUCUCGUGUGGUGAUGGCCACAUUCUCUUCAAAACGCUUCUCAUUCCCUUCAAAGUGCCUCCUUGGAAAUCGGCAAUCUCGAGCAAAGUGACCCUUCUUACCACAAUUGAAGCAUCCAUUCUUUCUUGGUUGUUGUUGCUGGUUUUCUCGUCCAUGGGCUCCCUCUGAAGAGCUACUUUUCUCCUUUGGAUGAUGCUUGCCACCUUCUAUCCACCUUGGUUUUGGCCUUCCUUGCCCCUUAGGUGGUCCCUUCUUUUUGCUUGGAAGAGAGCCUCUUAUUCUUCCUUCACAGUAAUGCCUCCCAUCUUCUUGACUAACUCCUCCUGAUUAGCCAACAAAUUUUCUAGCUCCACCAAUGAAGAUUGAGUAGGUCAUCAACUCACUACAGCUAUAAACCUUUGAUAUUCGGGUCUAAGGCCAUUAAUGAUGAUUCUCCUCAUACGGGCUUCACCAACCUUCUCAUCCGGUGUAAGCUCGGAUAUCUCUCGACAGAUGGAUUUUAAUUUGGUGAUAUAUUAACUAAUAGUCAAAGUUCCUUGAGAGAUACCUGACAACUCCUUUUCUAAGAGUUAGAGGUGUGCUUCAUUCUUCUUCGAGAAUAAUUUCCCCAAAGUCUCCCAAGCUUCCUUUGAGGUCUCCGCAUCUCGGAUGUGCUCUAGUAGGUCCUCCUCAAUAGUUGUCUUCAGCACAAACAUGGCCUUACCGGCUUUGAUGCGCCAUUUUCGCAAGGCGUCGGCUCCCUCCUUCGAAGAACUAUCGCCACUCUCCUUUGGUGGAGGCACUAUUUCGACGCCCGCAACAACCUCUCAUAGGUCUUGACCUUGUAGGUAUGACUCCAUGCAGGUCUUCCAAUAAUCCCACCACUUUCUCUAGCAAGAUCUGCCAUGGUAACUGACGCCCGACGUCAAGUUAGCUUUCUUGGUCCCGGACCAAUGAGCUUCACAGUCCCAGACUGUGCAUCGGCAGAGUCUCCUCUUAGCACCUUGGUAUUGCACCAAACACAGCAAGCACCCUUUGCUUACUAGAGAGCCUCCUCCAGACAGUCCCGAACCGCCAAGCCCUGAUACCAAUUGUUGGAAAUUGAUGUGGCCCUAAUACCCACUAAUCUGAGGACCUACACCUAUGACACCAACUCACUCUGAAGUCGGUCAACUCUUUUAAUUUCUAGUUACUUAGUGCGACGGGUUCUUUCGACGGCAAAGCCACCUUCUCACUUCCGGGUGGCAGAACCUACCAAUAGAUGAAGCUGAUUUUCAAGUGGCAGAGCCAACCUACGAUGAAGUUCAGACCCUUGUGAUCCCAGGUGACAGAGCCAACCUUCGAUGGAUCACAACUUAUGCACUAAGUACAUAUAAACUAUAUGGCCCAACCGGGAGACUAACACUUGUAAGAAACAAAACUUUAUUACGACACAACAAUAUUACAUAGGAGUGUACAACACCCUCUCUUUAAUGGCUAGCCUAGCACUCACCCUUUACUUCUACCAUACUCCACUCAUCUACCAUGCUCAUGGUUGAAUGGCAUGGCAAGGAAGGGGGCCUCUAAGGGAAUUCGAGAGAAAGGAGAGGAGCAAUUGGCACAUGAUCGAUCCCAUUUGGUUGGAGUUGAUGUAUGGGUGGAGAAUUGAUGCCUCUUAAGUUUUAGGCUAAGAAUACGUACAUUAUCAGCGUGUUUGGAACUGCUCCGCUCCAAGUUUUGUAGCUCCGCUCCGAAAUCAUCUUGCCAAACACUUCUAGCUCCACCAGUAUCAACUCCAGAAAAAAGUGGAUAUAGAGACCAACUCCAAGGUUUUUCUGGAGCUCCUCAAAGGAUGCUCCGAAAACAUAAGUUUCAUAUCUUCUCUUGGAGUUGGUGGAAAUUACCCACCAAUACCACUGUUUACGCGUACCGAGAAUUAGCAGAAGUUCCUCAAAUGUUCAGUACCGAGAAUUACUAAGCCUAUGUGAAGGUGGAGAGACAAUGUGACAUCAUACAAUUCCAGUUCUCAAAUGCAAAUACCAUAACCUCUUUUUGGUGCACAUGUGAGUUUCAAUACUGAGCUCGUUAAGAAUAAAGUUUCAGUACUGAGUUACCAAUGUUCAAAAGAUGUGUGAAAAUCAAGCACGGCAAUGCGGAUGAUUAGCCCAUCCAUGCUACUGUAGCAUUGUAGCUCUUGUUAAAAAAACAUCAACCCCAACCAAGAGCAAGAGAGAUUAUUUUCACCAAUUCCUACAAUUUAUAGAGCGGGAGGUUACACCAUUAGCCAAACAGGUUCAUAGCUUCCUAUUUUCCUGGAGUUGGUGGAGUGGAGCUAUAAAAAGGUGGAGUUGGUGGAGUGAAGCUGUUUUUUUUUGAGUGGAGCAGUCCCAAACACGCCCUAUAUCUAGCUUAGCUAAAAUAUACAAAUGUAUAUACCCUACAUACUUGAUUGUUUGAAAAGAAAUAGGGUAUUCCUGAAAAUACCCAGGCAUCUAUACUGGGUCCGCUCAUGGGAAGCGGCGAUAACCGUGUAGCCGGUUGUUUCUUUCUUUCUAUUUUUGAUCUUUUAGAUUACUUUUAUCUCUCCUAAUAUGUAAGGGUUCAGAAUUAUUAGAAGUCUUACCUCUUAUAAGAGGUGUGUUAAGCAAAGCUCACAGUUAGUGGGCAGCCGAGCCACAGGUCCACGUUAGCACACAGCACACGUAGGAUCAAGUAUUUUGUAUGUUCAUUGACUAAGCGGCGUUUUGAAUUAAGAACCAAGCUAGCGAACACUCCCAAAAUAUGAUAGUUUAGGACGCACCCAAGAUACCUGUGAGAACUGUUGUUAUAUUCUUAAGUGAUGAUGCUCAUGCUAGAAUAAACUCCAUGUAUAUAUUGUCCGCGUAUUCUUCGAGUCAACUAUCGAAUUUGAGGCGGUGGCCCGCACGUUCAUUGGCGGACGCAUAAUACUAACAAUGCAGGUCAUUCAAUUAACCCGAGGAUUAGGGAACCCUCUAGGGUUGGCCUUCAUUCUGGACGGUCCAUGUUUAUGAUGUCCAGUAUAGAUAUCGCGGCCACAUGGUAGUAUGAUCAAUAAUUCUGUUCAGACUCGUGCACAUGUGGCAGCACCAAGAUAAUACACCACUAAACCAGUUCAAAAAAGCUAUCUCUUUCUCUUGAGCAUUUCCAGUAUUAGUUCUGGUUUCCUACAUUCUUUACUUUCCAUGCAACGCGGUGAGAAGACACCAUCUAUCCUAGCGCUAAGGUCGCCGAUACGAACUGCAUUUUUGUUGAGUUCCUUUGGCUUGGUUGAAUACUUCAUGAUCUUCAGCCUUUUCCGCCCCAGACCCGCAGAGAUCUUCAGAGAUCCAGCAUCCCUAUCUGUGUGCUUGGUUAUUUUCUCCGACGUUGCCAAUGCAAGCCUGCUUGAAAUGUCAAUUUCUUCACGUGCAAGGGCUUUGUCAGCACUGCUGGAGCAGCUAUUAUGAUGCUUUCUUCUAUCCAUCAACAAUCCAUCCAACUUAGAAACCAAGCAACCAGAGUGCAGGCUUAUCUUGAUAUUUGCUUCUGCUCUGCACGCUGAUGCUGUUGCAACUGAAAUGGCAUCAUGCGGGUGACUAAGUGCCACUUGAAGAAGUUGCUGCUUCUGACUCAAGGGUCCAUCACUAAUGAGCUGGCUCAUGUUCAGGCACUUGAGUAUCUUGAGCCAAAGUUUCUCAAGCUGGUAAAUGAUUUUCCCUUGUUGCAUUUCGCAGUACAAUGUGGCAGAUAAAGAGAGCCACUCAGUAAGUUGAUCUCCAAUAAUCUGCAAGGAUGAAAUGGUGUACUCAUGCAGUUAGGCAUAAAGUAUAUGUGCUUGUCAAAUGAGGCUGACGCCCCUAUAAACAUUAGGAGCUAUAUAAGUACUUUGUUCUGGAAAUAUGCACAAACCUCGAAAAGAAGAAGAAUAUCUUUCUUUAAUACAACAUGCCUAACAAAAUUGGAUAAAGACGAAAAAAACCUGAAGCACAACCAAGAUAAGAGUAGUAGUUAGAUAUAAACUCAAGUACACAGCCUGGAGCAGCUUACUGCCAUUAAAACCAACAAACAAGAUUGCAAUUUUGUAAAUCUGGUUAACUACCUGCUUGUAACUUGGUGCUGUCCAGCUGGAUUUGCUUUGAAACCAAAUCUUGAAAACUUCAUAAACCUGCACAUAUCAUGAAACGCUUAGAAAUUAUUGAAACAGAUUGAGGUCAUAGCCAUUUUAGACAUGAUAUAUUCGAUGUGAUUUGUUUAGAAGUGAAGGUCAACAGACCUGUUAGCGAGGUUCAAGCAGCUCAAGAAAAGGUUAAGAUGCCUGGAUCCAGUAAAGUCUUCAUUUGCUUCAUUCAAUUCUUGGUUAGCAUAUGCCAAAAUUUGAUCAUUCUCUAAUAGUCCAAUAACUACUUCACCAAGAGCUGAAAGGAUAGCAGUAUUUUCAAACUUUUCUGGGCAAUGCUCAAGGUUGGCUUGGAACAAUGCCGUGUGUUCAUCAAUAAUGUUAACCAAAUAGUCAUAAAAACCCUCAAAGAAAACCUUGGGUGCAGCCUUUGAAUUACAGGAGCUUGUACAGAGGGAUCUAUAAACUUCAAUGGCUAAUUCCACCUCUAGGUCUUGCAUAACAGGAGCACAUGAGCUAUUUUCAGCAUUCCAAGGAAUGGAUAAGCCCCCAGGGUAUAAAAAACUAGAAAAUGGAUAACAGAAGAACUGGUGGAGCACAUCAUAGGAACUUGAUCCAGGACUAGCUUUCAAAUAAGAGAUAGUUAUGUCAUUCAAUUGUUUAGCAAAUUUGUUCCACACCAUUAACCAUUUUAAUCUUUGCCUAUUAAAUAUCGGGCACAUGAUCUGCAUGUACAUAAAAGCGACAACAACAUGAAAACUCUUCAGGAUAUCUGAUGAAGAGAGAAUUAAAGCCAACUUCUCAGCAUCUCCAUGCGACAGCACUCCAGUAUACUGAGCUACCAUGGUCAGAGAUAGUGCAGUCAUGUAAACUGCUGGAGAAACCAUCUCCAUGUAAGAAAGUGGUCUGAUUCCUGGAAAAGAGAACUUCCGAGUGCAUUCGGCAUAUUGGAUCUCCUUUAUGUGUUCGAUGUCCAAGCAUAUCUCAAUCUUUUCAGAAUUUAAAAGAGAAUGAUCCAACUCCCCCACAAUAACUUCCACAAACUGGAGACCAAAUUCCAGUAACAUUGCACACUUGUUACCACUAUGCUUUCCUACAUGAUCCAGAAACAACUUCGUCUUUACAAACUUGCAAACAUCAGUAAUGCAAAGCCUAACUUGUUCAUAAGAACACUUUUCUUUAAGUUCAAUUUGAACUCCUCCUAGAAGAAACUUGAAUAUCUCUGUUGCAGAAUCCAUAACAAUCAGCAUCUUUUCAGGAAUCAUAUCCUGAAACAGUUCUGGAUUCAGAAUUGUGCCAAGAAUGUCGAGUUGGAAAUGAAAGCAACCAAUGUCCCAUGGUAACCAUUUGAUAUGCUGAAAAUCCAGCAAGGCCUUGAGAUGCAUGCAAGAUUGGGCAACCAAAUUCCAAUUCACUGGAGUAUACAAAUCCUCUCUGUGCCUACUUUUUGAUUUACUAAAAUCAUGAAAUAGGUUCAUGCAAAAUGACCACAGCGGCUUGUUCUGAUCAUUGAUUCCAACAGAGAAAAUUAUUUUGAGUAUUGGCGCAAAAGCAGCCUCCAGUAUGGGUAAACAAUUGAUCAAAUUACCAAGUCUAUGUAGAAGGUAAUUCCAUGUACUCAAACAAGAAGAGCUCAGAACAAUAUUACGACUUCUCGAAAGAACUCGACAUAAAGGCACCAUAAUUAACCUUGUCCUUUUCACCUGAGCACUUGCAUGUUCUCUGGGUUCUAAUGGGGCAAUCACAGUUUCGUGACUCUCAGACUCUGUAGCCUGAGAUGGAAAAAAUGCAUCUACCAAAUUUCUCCAGGAAACCUGUGAAUCUAAAUGGCUAUCAUAAUGUAAUAGAGAACUUCAUGUUACUAGAAAAGUUAUUGUGCAUCAGAAAAAGAAGAGAUAGUGUAACUCACCAUUGUAGCAAUCUGAACUUGUGUGUCUAGAUCAAUGAACAUCUGUUCUGGAACCUUUAGGAGUUUAUUGAGUAGAGGUCUAUUAUUCACUGCAUCUGGACCAAGAAAAGAUAUGAUCCAUCCCCAUGACUUCACUACUUGAACUUUCUUCGAAGCAUCAUCAAGCAUAUUCAUCAUGUGGGAGAGUAGCUUUCGCUCAAGGUCUAAAGCUACAGCCUAUACAGCAAGCAUCAAAAUAAAGCUAAAUGAGAAAAAAAUCACCAGAUGAGCUCAUACAAAACUGAACUAUUAUAGCAAGUAAAACAUAUAAAAUAUGCAAAGUUGCAGGGAGACAGCACUCAAUCAUUCAAUAAGCCAAAUCCAGGGAACACAAAAGGUAUAUAAAACAAAUCACAUAUAAAAUGCCAUACAAAACCUAGAAUAAAAACAUACAUUCUAGGCAAUGUAUACGUUUCUCUAAAUUAAUCUGAUAAUAAUUCCCUGUUUGAACUGGUAUAUGGCUUCUAUAAUCAUUUAGACUAUAAGUAAUAAAACCGCAGGGAUUUCAAUACUACAAACUAAACAAGGAAAUGUUUAUGAAGCCUCCAAGGCCUAUGAACAUGAUGUUUGAGUCUUCUUAAUGCUGAUAUGUUGUUCGUUCAAUAAAAAAAAUGCUGAUAUCUUGUAGAUGGCAAAUUAGUUCGGUGUCAUUUUACUCAUCUCUACAAAAGGUACACUUCGGUCACUAUAGUGUGUCACAAGGAAAUUAAUGUCACUAAUUGGUCAAACUAAAGUAAUUCAGCUGAAUUUCCUUAGCACCCAAGCCACAUCAAGAAAAAUAUGUAUGCAUUAGGACUUAUCCAUAUGAAGCUGCUCAAGGUUAUCACAAUGUGUCACCUGAUUUCUUUAUACCUUUGAGUGACUGUAUUAAAGUGGUUGCACCCAGGUAGUCGGUAUUUGGGUUGGCUUACACAAUAACAAAAGUUGAUCCAUUUAGAGAAAAACAAAAAUCCACAACAAGUUGUAUAUACCCGGUGAAUUCGGAUGCAACAGAUCACAGUAUUUAGUGACUAACAGGAUAGAUCAAAUUAUUAAAUUCUAUGUGAAUUAAACAAUCUGUAGUAACACCGAUCUUUCAGUUACCUUGGAAAGAAGCGGUUGAGGUGGUAGGAUAACGUGCGACACUUUAAUGAGGCAUCUUUCUGCCAUGUCCCUUUCUGGUUUAUCAGCACUUAAGAGUCUUUGGUAUAUUGGUGGAACCCAUAAGCUUGAUAGGUCCCUCAUUCUUUUGUGACUUUGACAAGCAAGCUUCAUGAUAGCCUUCAUUGGAAGUUUCCAAAAAGCAGCACUAAGUCAAAUUAUGAGAUUACACGAUAAAGCAAGAGAAACAAAGAUCAAGAUAUACAUUGAGUAGUUUUCUUGCAGUCUAUGGUACACGAGGAAAGAUCAUACAGACAGUGCCGGCCCUGGGGGUGGGCCAGGUGUGCGGCCGCCCUGGGCCCCCAAAUCCCAGGGGCCCCACCCUAGAUGGCAGGUUACCUAUAUUGCCUAAAUCGUGAUUAAUAGAUCAAAGCUUUUAAUCUGUGUCGACCGCCGCCGCCGCCCAGAACUGCCGCCACCACGUCAGGUCACAGCAACAUCGAUGAUAACAAUGUAAGUGACUCUGAGAACACAGUAAAUGCAUCAGGUGCACAUGCACAGUCUGCUAGUGUUGACGAGGAACCAGUUUACACUUCAGAUAUUUAUGAUCCAAGAAAUUGGGAUAAUCUUGAUAAUAAAGCAAGAGACAUAUUAGUUGAGAAAGGGCCUAUAAGAGAAGAAAAUAACGAAUUUCCUCUAGAUGCUGCCUCAAGACAUUUUUCAUAUGUUCAUUAUUCUAGAAAAUUAAGCAAUGGAGAGGUACAUGAUAGAAAAUGGUUAGUUUAUUCAAAGCAUGUUGACAAAGUUUUUUGUUUCUGCUGUAAGAUCUUCAAGUCUAGCACUAGCAAGAGUCGUAGUUUCUUAGCAGGCGAUGGGUUUAGAAAUUGGAGGCAUAUCAGUGAGAAGCUUAGAGAACAUGAAAAUAGUGUCGAGCAUAUUAGUAACAUGAACAGUUGGAAUGAUUUGAGAGCUAGACUGCGGAAAAAUGAAACAAUUGAUAAAGAAUUGCAGCAGCAAAUCACAAAGGAGAAAGAACGGUUGCGGCAAGUUUUGUUAAGAAUAAUAGCCAUUGUGAAAUUUCUUGGUAAACGCAAUUUGGCUUUCAGAGGAAGCAGUGAGCAGCUUUAUAAUGAUAGUAAUGGUAAUUUUUUAGCUUGUGCUGAGAUGAUUGCAGAAUUUGACGUGGUAAUGCAAGACCACCUUAGGCGCAUUCAGAACAAAGAAAUUCAUUAUCAUUAUCUCAGCCAUAAAAUUCAGAAUGAGUUGAUAUCUCUUUUGGCUUCCGAUAUCACAAGUUCUAUCAUAAAGGUUGUUAAAGAGGCCAAAUAUUUCUCCAUUAUCCUAGAUUGUACCCCUGAUGUCAGUCAUCAAGAACAAAUGACUUUAUUAGUUCGAUGUGUUAAUUUGUCUGCUGGCAAGAUAAAAAUUGAGGAGUACUUUUUGGGAUUCCUAAAGGUGGAUGACACAUCUGGUUUGAGGCUUUUUAAUGUAUUGCUUGAAUCUAUGGAGUCUUUUGGCCUAAAAAUUAGUGACAUAAGGGGUCAAGGCUAUGACAAUGGUUCUAAUAUGAAAGGAAAAUACAAAGGGGUAAAAAAACGGUUACUUGAUAUCAAUCCAAGAGCAUUGUAUAUGCCAUGUGCGUGUCAUAGUCUAAAUCUUACUCUUUUUGAUAUGGCAAAAUCUAGUGGGAAAGCUGUUUCAUUUUUUGGAAUUGUUCAACGCAUAUAUGUAUUAUUUGCUGGUUCUACGAAAAGGUGGAAUGUUUUGCUUAAACAUGUUCCUAGUCUAACUGUGAAAUCAUUGUCCAAUACUCGUUGGGAGAGUCGAAUCAAAAGUGUUACAGCAAUAAGAUAUCAAGCUACUGAGUUAAGAUCUGCUUUGUCUGAGUUACAUCAUGCUUCUGACAUUGAACCUAAGGAUAGAAGUGAUGCAAAAAAUUUAUUUGAUGCACUUGGCAGCUUUGAGUUUCUACUUGGUAUGGUUAUCUGGCAUGAUAUUUUAUUUGCUGUAAAUAAAGUGAGCAAGAAGUUGCAAUCGCCAGCCAUGUGCAUUGACUCUACUUUGAAACAAAUACAAGGUAUAAUGCAAUACUUUGAGAAUUACAGAAAUGAGGGAUUUUCUUCUAGUCUGAUCAUCGCCAAAGGUAUUGCAACAGACAUGGGUGUAGGGGCAACAUUUCUAGAAAAACGUCGUGCUACGAGGAAGAAACAAUUUGAUGAUGAAAGUAAUUGUCAAGAAGAAAUUUUUGAAGCUGAGAAGGCUUUUGAAGUUGAAUAUUUUUUUGUUUUGGUUGAUAUGGCGAUUGGUUCUUUGAAGAAGAGAUUUGAAGAACUUAUGGUGUUUAAAGAUAUAUUCGAAUUUUUGAUGAGCUCAAGCACUUUGAAGUCAUUAAAUGAUAAUGAACUUGAAGAAUGUUGCACUAAAUUUGCCGAAAUUUUUUGUUUUGAUGGUUCAUCUGAUGUUGAGGUAUAUGAUCUUAUUUCUGAAUUAAAAAUUAUGAAGUUCACUUUGCCAGAUGGCGUAAUGUCAGCUAUGGAGAUUUUUGAGCAUGUCAGAGAUGUGGAUUGUUAUCCUAAUAUCUCCAUUGCUUACCGACUCUUAUUUACGAUGCCUGUGACUGUCGCAUCGGCUGAAAGAAGCUUUUCAAAGUUGAAGUUAUUGAGGAACUAUUUGAGGUCAACAAUGACUCAAGAGAGGUUAAACGGUUUGGCAACAUUAUGUAUCGAGAAGAAAUUGUUGGAUGAGAUUGACAUCAACCCUAUCAUAAGUGACUUUGCAUCGAGGAAUGUUAGAAGAAACUUUUAAGGUACUAUGUAUAAAUAACUUGAUAUGAAUAUUGUUUUUAGAUACAUUUAAGUAUUUAUUGGUAACAUUUCAUAUAUAUUUGUUAUAAUGUUUAUACUAAAGGGUCCCGAUUUUUAUUUUCGCCCUGGGCCUCCCAAAUCUCAGGACCGGCCCUGCAUACAGAUAUGACUCAUAAUAUGAUUUUGCAUCUUUUGAGGCAAAUCUCGAUGAAAUUAGAAGCAUCAUGAGGGCAGAUGGUUAUUCAAUAAUGGAUGCUGCAAAGCAGUUAGUUUACAUCAAACAUCUGAUUGCUAGUUCAACAUCCUAGACACAUAAAGGCAAUGACAUAGAACAGAGUUUAUGUGUGCAGGAUAACCUGAGCUGCCUCAAAUGUCGUUGACAAGGAACCAAAUGGAUUGUCGAGUGCAUAAACAAUAGCAGCAACUAUUAGGUCUGCUCUAUCAUCUAUAAUCAAUGGCUCCAACUGCUGAACAGAGAUGCACCAGAUUCCCAAAUUACAAACAGACUGCAAUAACAAAUUUAAGGAGAAAAUGGGAAUCAUAUACUAAAAACCCAAACACAUAUUCUUCGCAUAAAAAUAGUGCCUUAAGCACUCAAAAAAGAAAAAUGGUUGGCCAGAUCUACCUUCAUCCGAGUAUUCAUGAUUAGCUGCACCAAGGUAUCCAAUACAGCCUGGGACAUCUGCGCUGAAGGAUAAGAAAAAUCUAUCAUUUGCUAUGCUCAUUAAAACAAAAAAGCAGUGCUACAGCUCAUCAUGUAUGAGAGGGAAACGGGUUUGAUCUCCAUAGAGAAAUACCAGAAGCAUUAUAGUGAAUGUUUGAAAACAGAUAAUAAUGGUUGCGUUGAUUCUGAUAAACACAAACCCAAUCCAUUAAGGAUAUUUGCUAUCAAAAUGAUGACUUUUUUUCCUAGAACGUGUCAAAAUGAUGAUUCUAUCUCAACGAAUAUCAGUACAAAUAAUAUUCUAAAACGAAAGAAGCUCAUGUUGAUUGUGGAGCACUAUCGAAAGCAAAAGUUUUAGACCCAUAAAGCCUCAAACAUUCAGGUGGAGUUCAGAUAGAAAACCUCAUAUUCUAAAUACAUGUACACGAAGGAGUCAGUUUUGAUGUUAAACCACACUGCUAAUGGCCGAUAUACUUCUCAAUGAAAAGCAAUGCCCCCUCGUUCACAUCAUAGGCUUCCUCCCACAGAGCAACAGGCACAACUUUCGCUGAAUUUUGCUGAAUCGAAUUUUUUUAGCGUCGAUUUAUUCACUGAUUCAAAUUGUGUUCAACCAUCACUGAACAUUUAACUGAAGAAAUGUGGGUACAGGGAUUCAGGGAAGUACUAGUACCUGAGACGGUAGAGACGAGGACGGGGUGGUAGAGCGCGAAUCCGAGGCACUUGAGCGCGGAGGCCGCGACGGCCUCGUCAGGGUCGGCCGCGUCGCGGAGUAGGAGCGGGAGGAGGGGUGAGGGCAGCUCGGCGGCGAGGUCCGCGGCGGCGGAGGGGUCGUCGGCGCUGCCGCGCUGCAGGUGGAGGAGACGCGCGUACGCCGCGGCGCGGUCGGGCUCCGCGGCGAUCUCCGCCACCUCACGCGCCACCGACGGCGGCGCCAUGGCCGCGGAGGCCUAGGGUUUGGUUUUUUGGCGCGAAGGGUGAACGGCGGAUUUGGGCGCGCGGAGAGGAGUGGCGCGACAGUUGGGGGGGAAGUCAGUAACGAGGCGACGCGGAAAUGAGAGGAUUUACGCCAGCUCAAAGCGGGAGCGUAUUAUAGAUGUAUACGUUUCAUGCUUUGGGACGUCAAAAUUUUAUGCACCUAAAAAUGAAAACGAGCAUUUAGGUGGAGGUACCUUGGGACUGCUGCAUGCUUUUUGCACGGCUGCCCCUGCUAUUUUCCCCUACGUUAUUUUUUUUUAAAAAAAAAGGGUAAAACUUGCAUCGGGCUUAUCUUACUGCAACUGGUCAUUUCUCCUAGUGCUAUCUCUGUCUCUUCUCUACCCCACUUGUAUCUCAACUGAGUUUCCCCUUUAGUAUGAUACUCUGGAUUCCUCGUCUCCUUCCUUCUCAAAUUAUAGGUCGUUUUAGCUUUUUAAGAUGCAUACAGGGUAUAUAUCUAAUGCAUAAUAAAAUCUAUAGAUUUAAAAAAGUUAAAAUAAUCUAUAAUUUGAGAUGAAAAGAGUAGCCUACAACUCAACGACAAUCUUGUGAGCAAUCUCCCUGGGCAUCUCCUGCAGCUGCAGAGUCACCAGCCCAGACGAAGAGUCGUAGGAGAACUCCAUCUCAACUGAGCCCAGCAUGCAUUUCCUUGGCCUGACCGAAGAGUAGGCGCCGAACCUGCCGCACCCCCUCACUUCCAUGCACACCAAUCCGACGGCCUCUGAGCUAGAAGCCGAGCCAUCGCCGCCGACCAGCUUUGCCCCGUCGAGGAGGUGGUAGGUCAGGCCUUCCACCGCGCCGCCGCCGUUGAACAUGUCGACGAGGCCGAUCGGGGCGAACCGGAACCCGGGUGCCAUGUCCUGCAAUGGCGCCAUCCAUGGCGCUCCUUCAGUUAGUUUACAGAGGAGAAACUUUAGCAUCAGAAAUGGAGAUCAGAAUGGCGUUGGGUGCUGACCUUGAUCGGCGACACGGUGAGGAUGUCUUGCUCGAGGACCUUGAGCGACACGGGCAGCGCCGCGCCGUCGGGGAGGACGACGAGGUCGCCGCCGGCGUGGCGGUACACGGCGCAGUCGCCGUUCCACCACUCGGGGUCCGUCGCGGCCUCGGAGAUGAGGUGGACGUCGCUGCCCUUCACGCCGCAGGUCAGGGCCUCGGCGCCGGUGUGGUGGGACACGGUCUUCUUCUCCACGGAGCUCCACGCCGCGCCCUGGCAGUUGUACACGCCGAGGACGCCCGUGAACUUGUUCAUGUUCCAUAUCUUGAGCAAGCUGCGCGGCAGGAGCAUUGUCAGAGACGGACACGUGCGAACAAUUCAAGAUGCUGCGAGUGAAAGGUACUCAUCUCACCUGACGUCGUCACGUGCCGGGUCGGUGAACAGGCAGUCCUUGGUCGGCCGGCCAGGCAGAAGCGCCCGGAGCACCGAGCCGUCGGGCAAGACAAUCUUCUUCAGCAGAUCGAAGUCGUGCUUCCCGGGGGCAUCACUGCAUAUCCAUUCACCAAGAACACAAUUCAGCUUCAAAUUCCAAUGAAGGAUGCUGAAGAUUGGUGAAGGGUGAUGAACUGAUCGCAACCUGACAUAGACCGGGCCGCCGCUGAUGGCACGGGCCGAGCCGUGGUACUCGCCGGCGGGGUGGAGGGAGUGGAACAUGUCCCAGUCCGGGAGCAUGAACUCGCCGAGGAACACGCUGUUGUACGCCACCGCGGCGAUGUGGACCGUGUGCGACGCGGGGUCCCUCGGGAAGAAAUCAUCAGAUGCCCUCACCACCGCCGUCUGCUUCGAGCUGCCGAUUUGUCGCGUCACAGCACAAACAAAUCGGUCAACGAUUCACUAUGAGAUUCAUGGAUCAUGGUUGGGUUGGUGGGAGCGGAUUGAUCGGAUCGCGUACCAGUAGAGGGCGUCGGUGUUGUGGCUCAUGCAGGCGAUGAUGCCGUUCUCCGGGAAGUUCUUGGCGACGGAGGCGUCGAGCGCCUGGUGGUACUGCCUCGUGAGUAGCGCGCGGCCGCCGUGGCCGGCGCCGAGCGUCUCCAGGAUGCACUGCUCGUCGACCUUGACACCGUCGACGCCGGCGGCGGCGAGGUACGCGUGCUGCUCGUCGUAGAACCGGUACACGGCGCGCGGGUGCAUCAGGCCGACCCCCUGGGCGGUGAUCCAGUCGGUCACCAUGCCAGGGUCGUUCUCGGCGACUCCCGGCGAGAUCUCCGGGAACUGCAUGCUGGAGCGGUAGCGCUCCAUCCCGGCGGCGCCCGGCCGGACGCCGCCCCAGUAGCCGGUGAUGGCGUGCCAGACGAAGACGUACUUGAGCCCGUGCUCCUCCUUCGCCGCGCGCACCACCGUCCUGAUGCCGGCGGCCGGGUCGUCGGCGUUCUGGAACUUGCUGUUCUCCCUGAUACCGGUGAGCCGAGGCAGGUGGGGCUGCUUCUGCUUGGCCACGCCGGCGGGUUCGUCGGGGCUGGUAUGGUCGGUCUCGACGGACUGCCAGCCGUCGUCGAUGAUGACGAACUUGGGCGGCGCGCCGCCGGCGACGAGGCUGCGGAGCCCGGCCUCGACGCCCUCCUGCGUGACGUCCUGGUAGAAGGCGUCCCAGGUGCACCACCCGAAGUAGUCCACGAUGCCCGGGAGCUUCUUCUCGGCGCGGAGCCGGAACGUCUUAAGCGCGGACUUGGCCGCGGCGACGGCGCCGGUGAUGGCGGCGAAGGGGUCGGACUCCGCGGCGCCCACGAAGAGCGCGCGGUCGAAGGACGCCGCGCGCGUGCCGGCGUCCCCGCUCUCGACGCAGAGCUCCAGUGCGUCGUCACUCGCGCCGCCCUGGAGGCUGGCCCGGAACGCGCCCUCCACGAGCGGGAGGAACACGACGUACGCCGCCGCCGCCGCGUCCUCGCCGGCCCUGGACUCGACUAGCAGGAACUGCGUUUCGUGCGGGACGUCGCCGCCCUUGUCCCCCAUCCGCUGCGACAUCCACCACAGCUUGCUCCGGAAGCACGCCAUGAACCGCGGGCCCCUGCGCCAUCGUCGCCAAACCCAAAAUCAGAGCAAAUGCGUACGGAAUGGAUCUACAAAACGGCACAUUUUUCUCAUGGUCAGCACCGAACCUCAAGGCGCCGAGGGAGAUGACGUGGAGGGAGGCCGGCUCGGGGAAGUAGGCGCCGAUGAAGACCCCGUCAACCGCUUCCCCCGCCGCCGCAGAGGACGCCACGACGCCGGCUGGCACGCCGGACAGAACCGUCCUCCCGCAGACCGACAGCGUGCCGCCGGCGAGCUUGACGGAUGAUGUGAUCGUCAUCUCCUCUUCGUCUCUCUUACUCUGCGAUUGGGAUGGCGAGCAGCAAAACAACCUCAGGGCCAAUGACCUUAGAACAGCAUCAAGGCUGCAACAGCAGCAGCAACAAUGGUGGAUGGCACGCACCAAGGAGGGGCUGGGAAGCUGGGUCGCGAAGUGCGUGGCAAGGAUGCCAGGAGCAGGGGCGCGGGUAUAUAUGGAAAAAAAUUCAGUGCGUCCUCCCCGCACGCGGAUCCCGUGGGCACCAGCCUCCUACUGAUGACGCGUGUCCAGUAGGAUGUCCGCUCGGCUCCGUUCCCAGCGCGUGGCUCGCACGUCUUCGGCUCGCAGCGGACGAGUCCACGACGACGUAGCGCUGGGCUCGCAAGUUGGUUUCAGUUUUGCACCGCCCGGCUCAUCACCACGUAGUCAGCGCCGUAAUCAUAGGAUAGCUUCGUGAGUUGGUUCCAUCCACAGAGAAAGAUCGUAGAAACAGGUCACGCCGCCGCCGCCGCCGCCGACGAUACACGUACUGCGGCCGGCUGUGCGAGUUGCCGCCGGUUGCCUGAUGUCUUGUAGCCAUGCAAGCCAAAGGGACUCCACCUUCGGAGAUCAUUCAGAUGGUGAGGAGAAUUUUUCCCCAUCAAAUCCUCUCGUAGACACCAUGGAAACGACGAACUCUGCCCUAAUCAAUGGUGCUGUUGAUGCAAGACAGGUAUGUGCGGAAGCCAUGUACCCUUAUAACAUUGUAGAUCUAUUUGUGCUAGCUAGAUUUGUGGGCGGGAACAUCUCAAACAACUGUUACAUACGUAGGGGAACAUCACUGCUGUCAUCGAGUCCGCGUCUACAUCAGUUUCUGAGUUACCAGAAUCUAUGGCACAACAAUCAGAUACGGUAUGAGAUGUCAGUUUGACUACUAUAAGCAUUAAAAAAUCAUACUAUCUAUUCCUAGUUAUUAAACAGCUUUAAAUUUUCUCUCAUCGUACAACAGGUAUUAGAUAAAAAUGGACAGCCUUUGAUUGCUCCUGAAGUUGGAAUGGCUUUCGAUUCAGAGGAUAAAGCUUACGAGAUGUAUAAUAACUAUGCUGGUAAGGUCGGAUUCAGUAUUAGAAAGAGCCAUACGAAGCGCCGAGUUGAUAAAACUAUAUGCCAGAAGUAUAUAGUUUGCAGUAACGAAGGACACUGUGCUAAUGCGUCGUCACAGAAGGAUGUUACAAGGACGGGUUGUGAUGCCCGUGUUCAGUUUAGUGUCAGCAGAGAGGGGAUUUGGAAAGUGCAAAAGGUUGUACUUGAUCACAAUCAUUAUCUUGCUAGUCCUAAUAAAAAGCACAAGCUGAAGUCCCAGCGUCGUGUUACAGAUGCAGACAGGCAGCUGAUUGGUCAGAUAAGAGAAGCCGGGAUGAAGCCAGCCCAGGUGUAUGAGUUCAUGAAAGAAUUUUAUGGAGGAUCUGACAAAGUUCCAUUUGCAAAGAUGGAUAGCAACAAUGAGAUCGGUCGCGAGCGGAAGAAGUACUUAGAGUGCAAUGAUGCGCAGUCAUUGUUGGAUUACUUGAAGAAUAAGCAGAGAGAUGAUCCUGGAUUUUUUUAUGCUGCUCAAAUAGACGAGGAAGAUGGUCGGAUAGCUAAUUUCUUCUGGGCAGAUGGUCAGUCUAUUAUGGACUAUGCAUGCUUUGGUGACGCCGUAUCAUUUGACACCACCUUUCAGACUAAUAAGUUUGAAAUGCCUUUUGCUCCACUCCUGGGAACGAACCAUCACAAGCAAACAAUAAUUUUUGGGGCAGCAUUGAUAUUUAAUGAGAGUAUUGAAUCAUUUGUUUGGCUCUUUGAGACCUUCCUAACAGCUAUGUCUGGCAAACAUCCCAAAACAAUUUUCACUGAUCAAGACGCGGCCAUGGCAGGAGCAAUUGCCUAUGUAUUCAGAAAUACAAGUCAUCGUCUUUGUUUGUGGCACAUAUGUCUUAAUGCAGCUAAACAUCUAGGACCCUUAAUUAAAAAAUUUUCUGAGACAUUUUUACCUGAAUUUAAGAGAUGCGUGUAUGAAGAGAGAUCAGAGCCGCUGUUCAUUCAGAUGUGGCAGAAAUUGUUGAGUAAGUAUAAACUAGAGAACAACCAAUGGAUGGCAAACCUAUAUGCUUUGAGGAAAAAGUGGGCUACUAUAUACCGUGACUCUUUUACAGCUGAUAUGAAUUCAACUCAAAGAAGUGAAGGUAUGAAUAACGUGUUCAAGAAAAGAUUUCGUAGAAAACUUGGACUUACUGAACUUCUUGUAGAAUGCGAGAAGGUUUCAGCUAGCCUUCGUGAAAAUGAGUUAGAAGCAGAUUUUAACUCACGCCGAAAGAACCCAGUUACUUACAGUCCAGAUUUACCUCUAUUGAAAUCUGCGGCUGAAUCAUAUACAAAGAGGAUGUAUUUGGAGUUUGAGGAAGAAUUUAAAGAACAUUUUUCAUUCUCUUGUAAAUUGUUGCAAGCUGAUGAGUCAAUCCUCACAUAUAUGGUUACACAUAUGCAUGCUAAUCAUGGAGCAACGACUGUUUUCAACAGUGCGAAUAUGUCCGUUACAUGUUCUUGCAGAAAGUAUGAAUCCAUAGGUAUGUGCACACAUUUUGAAUUAUAAUAUAGUUUCUAAUUUGAACCAAUGGAAACUUAUGUUUUUAUUAUGUAGGUAUACUGUGCAAGCAUGCCUUCAAAGUUUUCAGUGUGAAUGAUGUUUUUAAAUUGCCGCCGCAAUAUAUAAUGGGAAGAUGGACCAAAUAUGCAAAAAGAGGAUUUUAUAUCGAGAAACCAGAAACCGAGGAAGAAAGUUUGAAAGCACGUGCUGCACGUAUGUCACGAAAGGCUACAUCCAUUACAUUGAAAUGUUCAGUGUCAAAAGAACUUCUUGAGAAUUUGGAGAAAGGCCUAGAUAAGUUGGACUUAGAAGCAGAUAUUGCUAUGAGCAAGUUGCAAGAAAAAUUCGAUGACGUUGUUGUAGUUUCUACUGAAUGCGCUACAGACACAUUAAAAGGUACAAUAUCAUUUAGAGUUCCACAUGUCAUAAAGGGCCCAAAGAAUAAGCGACUCCAAAGUGCAGUUGAAAAGAAUACAACAAAGAAGAAAAAGAAAAGUACUAAGAAGAAAGGUAUUCACCCUACCUUGCUGAUUUUGUUCCCAGGAAAGGUCCAACUUGUAUAUUAAUUAUUUUUGUUCACAGGAGAUGGUCCAAUUAAUGCCGCAGAGAAUACAUAUGAAACUGUUGAUCCAAACCAAUUGAUCGUAAAUGACUUAGACUCAUUAUUCUAGUUUUAUAUUUUUUUACUAACAACAAAUUGUAACAAACAAUUUGUUAUACAUGACACAGGACCUUCAUGGUGGCGGUAGCAUUGGCGGUUAUACUAGUACAAUGCAAUUUGCAAAUGAUUCAGCCAUGGCUGCGCCACUCAUCCAUGGAGGAGAUACUAAUGCUACAGUGCCAAACUUCACAGACUGUGUGUAUGGGCAAUCUUCUACCAUGUCUGCUCCUUUCAUGCAAGGCGGAUAUACAGACCUUUUACAUGGUGUUCAUCAAGAUGCCGCAAUGUCCUUAUCCGCUAGGAAGUUAAAUUUUGAUGAGAAGAUGUAGCUGUGUUGAUAGACAACACGCCACUUUGCAGUAUUUAUUUGUUUCAAGUAUGACACAUUUGAGAUGGAUUUUGCUAGUUACAUAUGAUAUUUCCUAUUUCAGCUGGUUAUCAAUUUGAAAUUAAUACAUAUCCUAUUCACUACAGUCAUAGAAACAUUCACAAAAUACUGUGAUCAUUUUCGGCAAAAAUAACCUCGUAUAUACAAGUUUAAGAAAGGCCAAAAUGUCAUAUGUACCUCCAAAAGGUUUGGCACCAUCUGAAAAAAUCAUGGAGAAUAAUCCUGAUCCUGAAGACUUGGUCGGAGAAGCAACACGUGAAAGCCAGGAGCAGAAUAUUUUAUUUAUUGUAUUACGAGCCGGGCAGUGGAAAACUGAAACCAACUUGCCAGCCGAGCGCUACGUCGUCGUGGACUCGUCCGCUGUGAGCCGAAGACGUGCGAGCCACGCGCUGGGAACGGAGCCGAGCGGACAUCCUGCUGGACACGCGUCAUCAGUAGGAGGCUGGUGCCCACGGGAUCCGCGUGCGGGGAGGAUGCACUGAAUUUUUUUCCGUAUAUAUACACCCCGCCGCGGCAGAGGAGACGGUAAGCUGAGCCUGCGAGCCAAAUGCGUCAUCACUGUCACGGUCGACGUCAGCAGCUGUUCGAUAUGUUACCCAUUGCUAAUUGCUAUACGGAACGGUGUUGAGUGAAUGGGUUAGUGACAUGAUGUCAUCACCCAUCACUAUUGUGUCACUCUGGGCUUAUCGCCAACUCCAGCCGAUCAUUGGAUUCUUAAUGCUAGAUCAGCAACCAAGCAUCAUUGGUAGUAGUACAACUCUAGCUAGUAUAUACUCCCUCAAAAAAAUUACAAUUUGUCCAGAUUCGUAGCCAGACCCUAACUAAAAAUUAGCUCUAAACGAGUAGACUAAAAUGUGAAGUAAUUUUUAGUUUCACCCUAGCUAAAGUUUAGUUCAUUAAUCCACCAAAAUCAUCUAAUUCGGAUUAAAGGUAAGGAAAGUAGCCAUUGGACCAUGAAAAGUCGAAAAUACCCCCCCUUAUUCCUCACCUUCUAGUCCACAACUGCAAGAGAGAGUAAAAUGGACUUUAUGUGCCUUAUGCCUUUUGGUCCAAAGAUCCAAACACGAUAUCUAAACUUUAGUCAUCUAAAAGAUUUAGCUCACUUUUAAUCACCUAAAUUUUAGUCCGAAGUAACUAAAAAAUAGUUUUAGAUGAUCUAAUCAGGAUCAAUUUAGAAAAGCCUAGCUUACUUUUUUCGGGUAGAAAAAUCUAUCUUGCCCCUAAUCAGAAACCAAGCAAGAAACCGCACGAGAGAAGAAACUCAUUUCACGGUCACAAAUACCAACCCAAUUAUCUUGCUAAUCUGAACAGCUGGCCCUGUAACAAAUAAUGUUUCUUCGUGUAUCUGCAGAUUCUAUGACAGAGUUAUUUGUCAGUUUCUGAAAUUCCAGUAUUUUGCACAUGGUGCAGCACAGUAGCAAAAGCAAAUCUCUCAAUCAGCUUAGCCUACGUUUUUAUGAUACUGUGCUAUCAGGAAAGCACAUGAGUGUAGGGGACAAGCAAUGCAAUGUAAAAUGGCAAUAACUAUUGGUAUUGCUUGGAUUCACCCACUGGAAUUAUUCCCCAUCUCAAAAGGAAUGCAACUCUCGUUUCUCGAUAAGUCAAAUAGUUUCAAGUUUGAUCGAAUUUAUAAAAAAAAAUACUAAUAUCCACGUCUCAAAAAAAUUUAGUAUGAAAAUAUAUUACAUGAUUAAUCUAUUAAUAUUUAUUUUGUAUCAUAAAUGUUAGUACUGUUUUGUAUAUAUUUGGUCAAAUUUAGAUUUAGCUGGCUUCUCACGUUCUCGGUUCCCGAGAGUUACAUUUUUUUUUUAUGGAGGGAGUACUCUAGAGAUCCUUUUCACUCCAGCUAAUGGAGAACUUUUCACUCCAGUCUCCAGAGAUCCAAGGCGGGAGAAACAGCCAAGGUCUGUCAAGAGGUUGCACCUUUCAGAGUUAGCUCUGGAACGAUGCCGGCAUCCAGAUUGUACGAUAUACUACGCUAUGGAGUACUUCUGAUUUUUUUUACAUGCCACAUGGCAUUAGGUUUGUACUAAGUCAAAUUACCUAAUUUUGACUAUAUUUGUAGAAAAAUAUAACAACAUCUACAAUACUAAAUUUAUUUCAUUGAAUUUAUCAUGGAAUAUAUUUUGAUAGUGCAUAUAUUUGGUACAUAGAUGUUAUUAUAGUUUUCUAUAAAUUUGAUUAAAGUUGAAAAAUGUUAACUUAGGAUGAACUUAAUGUGCCAUGUAAAAAAAUGUAAAAAAAUCAGAGGGAGUAUGUUACACCUUGCUUCAAUUAUGCUUGAUCAGCUAUUUAAUUUAAAAGGCCGGGAAUAUGAUCCCUUUGCUUUUUCAGGCUUGCUAGUAUACUUAAUACUUGUAUCCUAUUUCCUCUGCUUUGACAUCCAGAUCAGUUCAUUUUAAUACUAAGUUUUAGGUGAACCUAAUGACCCAGAGAAAGACAAACUGCAUCCAUAGCAAAAUUAGCAUACCUUCUCACUCAGAGCCAGGAGCAAGAGAUGAGCUUCAACUAUCAUGAGCUGCUGGCAGCAUCACCCGGCGCCCCUGCUGAACUGAGACCACUGGCUCCAAUCAACUGCAUGACUUUUAUCUUCUUCUUUUUUCAUAGGAACUAGGGCAGGUAUAUUGCGCACCUGAAUUUCUAUUGAACGACGCGUAGAAAUUUGCAUACAGGAUUUGCGAAAAUGAGAGAGAGAUCACAUCCUAGCCUAUAACAGGUUCAAUUUGUACCUUGAAGAACACAGGUGAGAUUGUGAGAUGUUUGCUCGGCGAGGUCAGAAGCCUGGCUCCAAUCAACAUUUAUCCCGAGAUAGCAUUUCACGAAUGGCAAGCCUAUUGACCCUUCGACCCACCAUCUGCCGCAGCCUGCCCGCGCGUCCGUACGUGUAAAGUGCCCCAGCGGUGAGCUGCCCAGCCCCAGCCGCCGCCAGGAUCCACUGUUUCUGCCGCUAGCGCCAUUGGCGAAAUAUCCGAUCCGAUCUGCCAUUAACCAAUCCGCCACUCGUCCAGCCGCGCCGCCGCCGCCGCCGCCGCCCAUCCAUCACGAGCUGACCCGACCGCGUGCGUCGCCAAUCACCAUGGAGCACUCAGACUCAGCAACCGCCAUCGCAGGUCCAUCUGGGACAGCAUGGCCUUCAGCUUUGUCCUCUCAUGCAGGUCAUGCAUGGAUGCCGCAAAGAGACAAGCGGGAUAGGGCAAACAUGUCGCCGUCAGAGAGGGCCAGCUGCGCGCCAAAAGCGAGAGCGCGCGCGAAACUUCCGCGGCCGUCUAUGCAUCGUCUCUUGCCCGUUCAGCUCGAGGUCGGCAUCGCCGAGAUUUUUUUUUUCUUUUACCUAAAGUGUCCCAAGCGAGAUGCGCAUCUCGUGCAGAGUCUAGUUGCAGCAACUGUGCUCUGUCAAGCUGGCUGUUAAAUGUAAAGUUUGCUGUUUGUUUCUGAUCAUGGCGAGCUUUAUUUUCUGAAGAUCUUUUGAUUCCGGCCGUAGCUGUAGCUUUCAGAGGGCCACCACUUGUGAUUAGCUUCUACAGUAUACUGCUAGCCUAUUAUAAUUAGCGUUGCAAGUGAUCAGCCCAGCUAUCAUGCACAAAUAGACAAAUAAAUGGCUGCCGGUAGUGCAGCGAUAAGCUCUCAUGCGAAUGCCGAAUGCGAUUGGGCUGGCUCACUGCAGCACGCCGAUAGGAGCGACGGCGUGAUAGGUGUCAUCAGGAUAUUUAUGAACAAAUGAUUGCAGACCUGCUGUCAAGUCAAGCUUGUAACAGUGUCAUACGGAGUAUCAUUGAGGUGGGUAGAGUAGCCCACGCACGUACGCAUCAGACCUCCCCGUCAUCUCGUCACGUAUUGAGGAGUUUAUAUCACAUUGAAUAUUUAAAGGUUAAUUAGAAGAGCUAUAUAUAAGCUAAUUAUAAAAUUAAUUACACAGAUGGAGGCUAAUUCGCGAGACGAAUCUAUUAAGCCUAAUUAAUCCAUCAUUAGCACAUGUUUAUUGUAGCAUCACAUUGUCAACUCAUGAACUAAUUAGGCUUAAUAGAUUCAUCUCGCAAAUUAGCCUUCAUCUGUACAAUUGAUUUUAUAAUUAGUCUAUAUUUAAUACUUCUAAUUAAUAUCUAAACAUUUCGUGUGACAGGAAGUGUAGGAGAACUAAAAACCAAACGGGGCCUAAUAUAAAAACCUAGCAUUAUUUGCGCAUCACGCGCUCUGCAUCGUUGACAGCCUGACAGGAGAUUAUAUUGCGUGCUAGUCGAAGUCGAGCGUGCAUUGUAGUACUAGCUACCAAGCUGACGUGGCAGAUUUUCUUCAACAAGGUAUUGUAGACAGCUUCACGGAGAGCAUGAUUGGCGCCGACGUGGCACGGGCAAGAGAAUAAAAAUAUCCGUACCAAGUCGUGCCGGCAACAAUUUGCCGCUGUCUCCUCCGCGUCCUUUUGGCUUCUCGCAGCGGAAUACUCCUGCGAUUCCUUCCCUCGUUAACCCAGGCAAAGCAACUCGAACACGUGAAAAUUUUGCAUCGCUUGCGUUGCGUACCUGGAUCUCGGCGGAUUGGCGCGCCAGCGCACGUCCACCUUUGACCAGGUCCCGCCUGGCAUCUGAUCCACCCACCGGCCACCGCGGAUCCGCCGUGGCAGCCUCGGACCCCGCGUCCUCGGCUCCGCCGCGCGAGUCGGUUCGAUUUCGAUCCCCGGGAGCCAAUCCCGUGGCGCCACCGGCUCCUCCGUCCGCCUCCCGUUCCCUCUCUCGAGUCUCGAGCAACCAGACGCCGCGCGGCCCCACGUGCCGGCCACUUGGUGGUGGAGUCCGGAGCUUGGACGAUCUCAAACGGAAGCAUUGCAUUGCCGGCUAUGAACAGGAGCUGAGUGUCCGUGAGGCCAGUCCACCGGCUAGCUCGCCCAAUCCAGCCCGGUCCCGUCGGUAGCGUGCGCGCGUGGGCGCGAGCUGCUGGCGGCAGCAGCAGCAGCAAACGGAUUUAACCGCCGCCGCCGAUGUCCGCGAUGGCGCGCAGGCUGAGAUCCAGCUGCACCAGGGCCGUCGCCUCCUCGGCGUUCCCUGCUUCCCCUUCCCCCUCAUCUUCUCUGCCGCGCCGUAUAUAUACCCUCCCUCCCCGCCCGCUGCUCCUCGCAUCCUCCUCCUCCCCGCGCCCACUCCCUCUCCCUCCGGCCGUCCCUCCUCGGUGCGUGCGGAUCCAUCCUGGAUCCGAUCGGAAUCUCUUCUUGUCGUUGUUUCAGUCUCUCCAGGUUGUUCUGGGCCCCGAUCUUAGAGUUGGUCUGUUGUUGUUGUUUUGUGGUGGGUUCGGAAGCAGGUACUCCUUUGUUAGGACUCUCGCGGCGACCAAGGGGCCUUCGCCGGCGCCGCCGAGCGACGUCGUCUCGCCGUCCGAGCAGCCGCGGAGUAAGAGGCAGGGGGAGGAGAUGACGAUCGCCUCCAAAGUCAAGCUCGCUGGCGGCACGCUGUCGGUCUGCGGGCGCACAGUGCUGUCCGGCGUUCCCGACGCGGUGGUGGCGUCGUCGGCCGCGGCGGGGGGAGCGGUCGACGGGGUCUUCAUCGGCGCCGACUUCGCGGAGCCGGCCGCCCGGCACGUCAUCUCCCUCGGCGCCCUCAGGUUCGAUUCGGUCCUGAAUCUUGAAUUCGACGGAAGGAAAAAACGAUUUUUUUUUUGCCCCCAAUCCAUUGGUGCCGAUUGGCAUUGUUUAAUUCUAUCGAUUCGGCAGAGGCGUUCGGUUCAUGGCGUGCUUCCGGUUCAAGCUCUGGUGGAUGGCGCAGCGGAUGGGGGAGAGAGGCGGCGACGUCCCGCUCGAGACGCAGUUCCUGCUCGUCGAGUCCAGGGGCGCCGGCGCCGACGGCGGGGAGGGCGCGCCGGCGUACGUCGUGUUCCUCCCGCUCGUGGAGGGCGCGUUCCGGGCCAGCCUUCAGGGCGGCGCGGGCGACGCGCUGGAGCUCUGCGUCGAGAGCGGGGAUGCCGACACGCGCGCGGCGUCCUUCGACCGCGCGCUCUUCGUAGGCGCCGCGGAGUCCGACCCAUUCGCCGCCAUCGCCGGCGCCGUCGCCGCGGCCAAGUCCGCGCUCAAGACGUUCCGGGUCCGCGCCGAGAAGAAGCUCCCGGGCAUCGUCGACUACUUCGGUUGGUGCACCUGGGACGCCUUCUACCAGGACGUCACGCAGGAGGGCGUCGAGGCCGGGCUCCGCAGCCUCAUCGCCGGCGGCGCGCCGCCCAAGUUCGUCAUCAUCGACGACGGCUGGCAGUCCGUCGGCACCGACCACUCCGCUUCCGACGAACCCGCUGGCGGGGACGAACCGCCUCGCCUGUCUCGUCUUACCGGCAUCAAGGAGAACAGCAAGUUCCAGAACGCCGACGACCCGGCCGCCGGCAUCAAGACGGUGGUGCGCGCGGCGAAGGAGCAGUACGGGCUCAAGUACGUCUACGUCUGGCACGCCAUCACCGGCUACUGGGGCGGCGUCCGUCCGGGCGCGGCCGGGACGGAGCACUACCGCUCGAACCUGCAGUUCCCCAAGGUGUCGCCGGGCGUCAUGGAGAACGAGCCCGGCAUGAAGACCGACGUGCUCACCCUGCAGGGGCUCGGCCUCGUGCACCCGCGCGCUGUGUACCGCUUCUACGACGAGCUCCACGCGUACCUCGCCGACGCCGGCGUCGACGGCGUCAAGGUGGACGUGCAGUGCGUCCUCGAGACGCUCGGCGCCGGCCAUGGCGGACGCGUGCAGCUCACCAGGCAGUACCACCAGGCGCUUGACGCCUCCAUCGCCAAGAACUUCCCGGAGAACGGCAUCAUCGCCUGCAUGAGCCACAACACCGACGCCCUCUACUGGUACGCGGUCCGAUUCACCCGCUUCUACGAUUCCAGCCCUGAAGUCUGAAACUGUAGCAGUGGCCGAUUAAUUUGAUCGUGAUGUGAUGCGACCAAUGCGCAGCUCCAAGCAGACGGCGGUGGUGAGGGCGUCGGAUGAUUUCUACCCGAGGGACCCCGUCUCGCAUACGAUCCACAUCGCCUCGGUGGCAUACAACAGCGUGUUCCUCGGCGAGUUCAUGCUCCCGGACUGGGAUAUGUUCCAUUCACUUCACCGGGCCGGCGACUACCACGGCUCAGCCCGUGCGAUCAGUGGCGGCCCCGUCUAUGUCAGGUCGCCAAUUCAUUCUACGUUUCUACUGCUGAGAAAUUGUGAUGCUGUCCGAUGAAACAUGUAACUGACAUGUGCUCUUGGUGAUGGAUUUGCACUUUUGCAGUGAUGCCCCAGGGAAGCACAACUUCGAGCUGCUAAAGAAGAUUGUGUUGCCAGACGGCUCCAUUCUUCGCGCACGUCUGCCAGGACGGCCGACCAAGGAUUGCUUGUUCACUGACCCGGCACGCGACGGCAUCAGGUGAGCUCAAUCCCCAUUUCUGCAGUUCUGGUCUGUUCACAGGGCAGGUGUUGCAUGGAGCAUGUAUUCUGACUGUGCCAUGCCAUGGCAUCCUUCCUGCAGCUUGCUCAAGAUCUGGAACAUGAACAAGUUCACCGGCGUGCUGGGCGUGUACAACUGCCAGGGCGCGGCGUGGAGCUCCGUGGAGAAGAAGAACAUCUUCCACCAGACCGGCACCGAGGCCCUGACCUGCAGCGUCAAGGGCAGCGACGUCCAUCACAUCUCCGAGGCAUCGACGGACCCCGAGUGGAACGGUGACUGUGCCGUGUACCGCCAUGCCAAUGGCGACCUUGUCGUCCUCCCGAACGGCACGGCAUUGCCCAUCUCUCUGAAGGUCUUGGAGCACGACAUACUCACCGUGUCACCGAUCAAGGUUCGUGCUCAAUUCCUCCAGCCAACUGUGUUGUGCACAACGUGGCAUGCAUUUGUGGCACAAAUGUUUGGCAAUUGUAAACUGAACGAUGAAGUUGUGGCUUAUGUCAUUGCAGGACUUGGCACUUGGCUUCAGGUUCGCCCCCAUCGGGCUGGUUGACAUGUUCAACAGCGGUGGCGCCGUGGAAGGCCUGACCUACCACCUCCUCGACGGCGCAAAGCUUGUCGACGGCAACGGCUCCACUUCUGGCUCCGAGGCUGUCGGAUUGGUGUGCAUGGAAGUGAGGGGAUGUGGAAGGUUCGGUGCCUACUCCUCAGUGAGGCCAAGAAAGUGCAUGAUGGGUUCAUCUGAACUGGAGUUCUCCUAUGAUUCUUCCUCCGGUCUACUGACGCUGCAGCUGGAGGACAUGCCCAAGGAGAGGGUUCACAAGAUUGUUGUUGAGUUGUAGGGGGGUAGUGGUAGCAUCAGAGUAUCAGUGCAUCAGAAAUUCAAGUGUUAUGCCAUGAGUGAUCUGUCCACUGAUAAUUAGACCUCCCCCUCUGAUAGCACAUUGAUGGUAGGGACUGGAGUGGGGGUAUGAUUCUAUAGUGCAAAUCUGAUUAUUGAUUCAAUUGAAAGGAAUAUACGCGCAUAAUGUCCAGAUACUCGGGCACUCCGAUCUUCUACUACUAGCCUGGACUGUGAACAGAUACCCUUCAGAAUUGUAGUAUCUUAAAACGGCUCAAUCUCUGAACCUUUCAGUAUGAGGCACAUGGCGCAGCAGUGCGUGAAAUCAAUCCAUUGGACAAUGCUCUGCAUCGAUAAUCCUGAGUUCUAUUCCAUGCCUACUUGUUUAGCGUAACGAAUGCCGUACUAUCAGGAAAUCACACGUCCAGGAGGAUAGGUGCUGAGCAUCGUUUUGUUGGCACUAGGCAGCUCCGCAUGCCUAGUUGUUGACGAUUACCACAAUAGUCAAGUUCUGUAUGGCACAAGGGAACGCCAAAAAGGCGUAAAAAUACAUAACAAUUCCAAACAACCGGCUUCGCAUAUUUGAGCUUUGCAAUUUUGACACCCGAAACAUGAGGUUGCUUAAUUUCUUAACAUUAUAACAUAAUCACAUUUUGAUAGAUUGUAGUCUUUUUUUUUGCGCUGUUGGUAACAUUGCAUGAUAUUUUAGAAAUAAAUGUUUCUACAUAAGAACGAUACCUGUAACUAGUUCAUGAUUCACAACAUGUGUAUGUAUAAACAUGGUUGAUAGACAAAGUAGUAGACACAUGCGGAGGCACGUCAUGCUGCGUCCCCUCGCGGUUGCUAGGCCAUACCAGGGCGACGCCAUGGCCCUUCUCUCCUGCUGGCUCACUCUCGCGGACGGGCACAGGCUCUUCCUUUUCGCGGUGCUGGGCGUGCAAGCGGAACGGUGCUGCACUUCAUCGGGACACAAGCAAACUGGAGAAAAACAAACAGAGCGAAGGAUAGAAAGAUUAAGCAAUGGCAUAAGUGUCAUUUCUCAUACAGAACUUAGGAAAAAAAGAAAAGAAAACAUAUUAGAAAGGUGAAAAUGUAAGGAAUCAAGCAUCCUUAUGUUUCGGGUGUUAAAGUUACGAAGCAAAGUGAAAUAUGCAGAACCGGUUAUUUUGAGUGUCAAUACAACAAAUUUAUCGCAUACUUCUUGACAGAAAUUGCAUUACUUGAUUUUCCCCGCUGCACUAACUCCAGUGAUUUCUUCCUCCUCUCUCAUAUACUUUGCUCCAUAGUGUGUGAGGAACAGGGGGGACAAACCCCCCCCCCCCCGACCCACCCACCCACCCACCCACCCAACUCCCCAAAACCCUUUAGAUUUGAAUUGGCUGCCAUUUGAAUUUAAGAUCUGAAUGUAAUCAUUUCAUGUGACUAUGUAAGGACAUAUUGUGAUCUAAAAGAUGGCAUUGCUCGGCAUAGAAUUCAGCAAUUAUCUAAGUAUAGAAACCUACGCGAAUGAUCAUAAACGUAUCGAGUUGUUCUUUUUCCCUUUGAAAUUUGAUCCAAUCAUUUUCGUGCAACUUGAUUGAACACAUUCGUGAUGACAAAAUAUGACAUUCCUCAAAUAGGAGUAUAGGAUGCGUGCAAUCUUAGACGGAGGAUACCCCCCCCCCACCCCCACCCCCAUUGUCAUGGUGGGCAAACUCUAGCAAUAGCUCUUAAACCAAAGCUCCCAAAGAUCGAAUGUGAUUCUCUCUAUUUUUUUCAAGGGCCAUAAAAGUAUAUCCAACUCCAGCAAUAAUAACCCCCAUGGAUAGAGGACUCCUAGAGAUCCCCCGGGAAUGGAGGGUGGAGCGGGAAAUUUGAAGGCCUCCCAAAAAAAAGGAAGAGGGGUAGAGAGCCUGCUGGAGUGGGUUUUUUUAUUUGACCCUCAGGAAUAUUUAGAAGGUCUGCUGGAGUGACUCUAAUGUACUUAUUCAAGUCUAUAUUUUGCUAAUCUACCCAGCCCGCUGCCCGUGAGGUGGAGAUUGCGUGGAUCGCCGGUAAUUCUGGUGGUAGUUCCGGUUCCGUUCCUUAUCAUGAGCGGUUGGGUUCUUAAUCAUGUCUCGUGUCCGUCUGUUUUCUCAUGAUGUUAUUACGUGUAUAUAAUAUCACCAUACUAAAGUAUACGAUGCUUUAGUUUAGUCCUGAAUUUGAUUUUUUAAAAUUUAGCAGUCUAUAGAAAAUGUUAGUGUUGCUAAUAUUUAAAGUGACCAAUUUUCAGUCGAAACAUAUACCAUCCAUCUGCUUGCUUUUACCACAGGUUAAAACAAAGGAUGUUGCUAGUGUCCGAAUGUCCGAUGGGAAAACUUGCCAUCGGACGCUCCAUUGGUCCAUCGCAACAUAAAAAAAAUAAUGUCUGCAACAUAAAAAAUAAACAUUUGCAACAUAGAAAAUCAUUAUUUGCAACAUCAAAAAACAUGUUGAAUAGGGAGGAGGAUGGUUCCUACUGCAACAAAUGGGGAGAUGUUUCGUGCAACAUCCAAUACAAAUCCUCAUUUUUAGUCAAAAGUCUCGCAACUCUGCAAAGUAGCUAAUGAAACAUCCAAAAACACCUUAUGCAACAACCAAAAGAUUUGUUUUCAACAUGACAAAAAAGGCGCAACAUGCAGAAAGCCUCCCCGCAACAAUUAUAAAUUGCAUCUGCAACAUGCCUACCACAACAUUAGCCUGCAUGCAUCGGUAUGGAUCGUCCCCUCCACUUCACGUCGCUGCGAGCAACACCGCUGCUCCCUCGUCAGUGUCGUUGGCGUGGUGGCCCAGGAAGGCGGAAGCAGAGGGACGGCUCCUCGCCGCCUAGGGGUGGUAGGACCAUGGGUGCGCCAUGCGAUGGAUUUCGAGCGUCAACAGCGGCAUCGGCGCAGGGGGCGGUGGUGGCUGCUGUGCCUUCGUCGCCCGCCGCCGGGAAGAAGACCGCCGCCUCGUGCGCCUCCUCCGCUCACCUCGAUGCUGGCUAGUUUGGGUUAUGCACUUGAGCCCGUGAAUCGGGCAGUGGCGGCGGGAUUCGACGGCGGGUUGCGGGAGCGGGGAGGAGGCGGGGGUAGAAGAGGAGGAGGAGAGAGAGAGAGAGGGAGAGAGAGAGAGAGAGGCGCGUGGGAGCAAGGACGAGGGACGCGGCCCAGUGAGGAGGUUUGGCUCGGCGGCGCAAAUGAUUGAGGAAGAGGAGCGCGAGCAGAUAAGAGCGUUAGUGGCUGCGAGUAGCGAGUGGAGCAUCCAAUUUUUGUUUCUGGUGUCGGAUGCCCUAAGCGUAGCAAUACCGCAAAAUAAAUUUUUUGUACUGCUUAAUUGGUAACGACAUGCUUUUUCCGCUUUUGCAUCAUGAACGCGCUGGAGAUAUCGAUCCUUGGCCGAGGGGUGUAUGGGUGCACCCAUUCGAGGAACAAGCGACAUGGCCGCCGCUGCCGCCGCGCCACGCUCUACCCAUCGAGGAUGCCUCCCGCCGUUGCCCACUUCCAGCUUCGUGGACAGACAUUGAAGCUGCCGGCCAGCGCGUGCGCUGCGAGGCGCAGGCACACGAUUCUAUGUCUAGGACACAUCGACGCACAACAACUCACCAUGGGCCUCAAGCACGUGCCUCUCUUUGAUGAGUUAAUUAGUUGCCGCGGCAGGUUCGUAGAGGCACUUGCACGCGCCACUGGGGAGGGCGCGGCCGAGAUAAGCACAACGUCGCGGCCUGGCAGAUGUGCUGCUCCAGGAACGACAACGCGGACUCCCGACUCCCGAGUGGUCCGGAGGGGCGACUCGGGAGGCGACUGCGCUCGCACCUAACCACCCGCCACCUGCUCGACUCCGCGGCAUCGAAGCCGGCCCCCCGCGUCGCGCUCUCUCCCUCCCUUCCCCUCCUCCUCUCUCCCUCUCCACUCCUACUCCGCAAACCCUAGCGCUGCCGGUAGCCGGAUUCGCCGCCGAUCGUCGGCCGCCAAUCGCCGUGGGCAGAUCCACCUCCCCUGAGCCCGGAUCUACUCAUCUUGGGCGCGGGGGUCCCUUCCCCGAUGGCCGCCGCGUCCCCCCCCCUCCGCUGCCCGGAGUAUAGGGGGCCGCGGCCGGAUCCGUCGGGAGGCGGGGCUCUACACGCUGCCACCGCGUGGCUGGCCGUGCCGCCACCGGCGCGUCCCCCCUCCCUCUCUGGUGGCGCAGCACCGCCGCCGGCGCUGCUGGCGCGUGCUGGGGGGCGGGGUUCUGUGCGCCACCGCCGCGUGGCCGGUCGCGCCGCUGCCGGCGCGUUCCCCUCUCCCUCUCUGGAGGCGUAGCGUCGCCGCUAGCGCGUGCUGGGGGGCGGGGCUCUGUGCGCCACUAUCGGCCGCGCCGCUGCCGGUGCCACGGGCGCGUCCCCCCUCUCCCUCCCUCUCUGGUGGCGCAUUAUCACCGGCUACGGGGCCGGACAACUGGUUAUGUGGCGACAUUCCUCAGCUCGCGCCCGGCGGUCCCCGUGCUCCUGGUGGUGGCGGUAUUUUUUGGGGAAGGAACGGGGUUACACAAAAGCCUUGUGCCUGCUUGCAUGUCGAUGACGGCGACGCCGCGGUUCCCUUCUCGAAGGCGUCAUUCAUCCCCCCCCUUUCCCCUCCCCUACAGCGAGUUUUUGGGUGAAAACUUUGACCGUGUUGAUCGGACGACGACGGCGCCAGUGACAUCGCUCCCUCCCUUGAGGCGUCAUUUUGGAAGCUCAGCGGGCUCUUGCUGCCUUCACUAUAGGGAUCGUUGCUGAACGCCGCCCCCGAUCGUCUCCGGCCGGUCAGGGUCCUCGUGGUGGUCAUCUUGGGAAGUGUCUUCUUCUGCGCCUGCCCUUGCUUCGAUUCGUCCACCUGCCUAGGUUGCUUAGUUCGUCAUUGUCUAGCGGAUGCUUUGCCGCCGUAGUUGCUUCGGGCGGAUGCUUUGCCAUCGCGGUUGCGCGGGUUGGGUGGAUGCUUUGCCACUGUUGUUGUGUUCGGGUGGAUGCUUUGCUGCCGUGACCUUUAGCACCCUUAACGAGGUUGUAUCUUUUGGCAUGUUUAGGAGAGUGGCCGUGUCUAGGUUUGUGGGUUUGAGUGUGCUUCUCCUUGUUGUUUUGCGUCGUAUGGUGGUUGUUUGUGUGUUUCUUCAGUGUUUCUUUUUCUUUAGUCUAGUGCUGAUCAAGUUCUGGUUAGCUUCAUCAUCGAGAUUGUGUCUUUAAACUGCUUUCCUCUUAAUUCUUAAUUGAGCUUAGGCACUCUAGAAAAGGAACGGCAACGCGACAAGCAACGUCCGUCACCGCCAUUCCAGGCACGAGGGCGAGCCAGCCGGCCGACCCCGAACCUGAAGCACACCGUAAGUGGUGAGAUCCGGCGGCGCUCUUGCUGCCGCACCAUCAAAACCGUCCAUCUGGGCGAGCACGUAGCUGGCAGCUCUACCAGCGCGCGCUGCGCCUCGCAGCCAGUCUCGCCGGCUCGCCGCCCGCGCGCCCCGGCGGCAGACCGCGCCGACGCUAUGGCGUCGACCACGCCGAUGCGGACCGUCGGUUGCGCCUUCUCCAUGGGAAGCUGGAACACGUUUUGAACAAUCUUGGCCCCCAGGAGAGGCCUUGACGGCGUGGCCGUCGCCAAUGGAAUGGCGCCGCCGAGUCGGACCCUAGGGGGUGGUUGGUAUCUCGUCUACCGUCCGGGGUGGACGGUAAAUGAAAUACCGUCCGCCCCGGGACUGUCUCGGACGUUGGAUCGGAUUUGGGCGGCUGAGAUCGACACGGAGAGCUGCAAGUAGCGAGGCCCUCUCCGCCUUCACCGCGCGACGCGACGCAUCCCCUCCCUGCCGUUUACCCUCAGAGCCAGGGACCGUCUACUCUGUGCCGGCGGCAGCGGUGACGCGGUGUGGACGUUGGCGGCGCAAUUGAGCGGUUCCGAGGUCAGGUGUGAUAAAAGCUGGACAUGGGAGAUCCGCCGCAGAUCGUGGUCUUGCCGAAGCCGCUGCCGUGCAUCACGGCCAGCACCCAGCAGCUCCAGCGCUGCAUUGAGAGUGUUCAGACCGUCAGUCAGACGCCAUGGCCGGAGUUCCUCGCAUCCUCGGGGUCGGCAUCUUCGACGAUGACCCUGCGGCGACCGUACGUUGCCAUCAAUCCGCUGACCGGAGGUGCCAAUGCCAUUGCCACCUCGUUGCGCUUCCGGACCCUAGCUCCCAGCUCUGGACUGAACGGCCAGGAAGCCUCAUCGUCCCUAGUAGGAUAACAAUGUGACCUUGGAAUUCCACAAGCUGUAACGAGACUGCAUCUGAUUACCUGAUGAAAAGCUGAUCGUGUUCCGUUGAACAAAUUUCAAGCAAAGCCCAAAGUUACCCGGGCACAAACGAAAGAACAGAAUCAUCAGCAAGUUUACCAAUUACAGCGUGUCCAGGUUCUCAUAACUAACCGAAUGGAAUCCGGAUGCCGGAUACAAACACUGCGUGAGCAGCAGGCUGCAGACCAGAGAGGCCAAGCACAACCCUGAAAGGCUGAUGCAGAAUUGCAGAUUGCAGGUGAUUGGUCAUAUCUCCUUCCAUGCCCUGUCAGGCCCUGCUUCACCUUCUCGCCUUCUGCGCUCGGUACUCAUCGUGCGCGCAGGGAGGCCCACAGGCAGCGACAGAACGCAGCUUUCUUCCCUUCCCCACAACGAAAUCACCACUCCAGCAGAAAAGCUUUUCUCCCCCCUGUCGUCCACGCUUCGUCCGUGCACGAUUGCGCACGCCCCGUCCAUCCGAGGUGGGGGCAAGGGGGCCCACCAGCCAGGACCCGAGACGCCAACGCCUUGACGGCACAUGCGGGUGGUGAGGUCCGCACGCUUUGCUGCUGUAGCUUUCAAGUCUUUCACCUUGGGAUUCUUGGGAUGUUUCGACAGUUUGGGUCAAUCCGUACCGAUUUUACCUGCUCGCCGCCAUGGACAUUUUUCACUGUGCGCGCUUUGGCGAUGGCGAGCGGCGAUUCAGUAGUAAAAACAGCGUGAGGGGGGUACGGACAGAAGGAACGUCAGGAUUUUUUCAAGCUCUGAACAUUGUAAUAGUUCUUCUUGUAUUGAUUGAUUGGUCCGUGGGGUCAGGCGAUUUGAUCCGGAUGCUCCAUGUCUCAACAUUUUAGCAGUAGAUCGAAGAGCAAUCAGGCAAGGUGGGGGCAGCUGUGUCAUUUCAAGCAGGGAUGUGGCGCUUUAGCCCUGUAGAUUUUUGAGCGUGUGUGCUGCGCAGCCGGCCACAGCGCUUCCACUGCUCAGGCCUCAGUGUGUGACAAGAUGCAUCCACCCACGCUGAACCAGCAGGGAGCAGGCCUCAGGCACGCACACACCCAUCGCCAUCAGAUCGCAGGCCGACUGUUCAGGGGUAAGCGAAGCGGCCUGCCCCGGCUGGCCAUGUCAAUGCUUCAGGCUGCAGCCUGCAGGCUGCCGGUGCGCAAGACCACACACAAAGCGAAGCGCGGCGGCGGCAGAGCGGCAGGCCGGGAAAAGAACAAUCACUGGGAACGGCAUGCAGCGCGUGACUAUUUAAGGAAACCCCCUUGACCUCGCCGGCGUGCGUUGGCGAGAUGUCAUGAGCGCAAUGGUGUCCGGACGGAGCACUACGCCCCAGGGGCCAGGGCAUGCGGCUUCGCGGUUCGCGAAUGGAAGUCCCAUCGCCAUCGCCUGGCCGGCCAUUGCUUUGGCCGUGGCCUGUGGCUGGGGAUCGACUGGACGGAGGGCUGGGUCACAGAGGUGGUAGGGCCGUGUUACAGCGAAUAAAGGGGAAGUACAGGUACUAUGAUUUGAGGCUUCAGGGCUCUUCGGCAGUGCCUUUUCAUUUCGCCAGCAAAAGAUCUACUCAUUGCAUCCCCUUCAGCAGCAGCUUUCACCAGGCCACCUUUUCCAAUCAGUUUUCUUUUCUUUCAGAAAAAGCUGUGCUCUCACUUUUGCUCCUAUUAAAAAAACUGCAAUAAUUAGUACCAAACGGUUACACGAAGAAUGAAAAAAAAAACAUGAGGAUGCAGUAAUACGGCACUGGCAAGUACUUUGCGUUUUCGAAAAGGAAAUCGACAUGGAAUCUUGAGUAAUCUAGUCAGUCCAUGCGUUAUCCAGUGACAAUGUCACAAACUCACAAUGAUAUGAGAAGGAGCAUGAACUAUAAUCCUUACAUACACGCGGUGAGGGAACCAACCUUUAGGUGUAAAACUGUACUACCAAGACGGAGGCAGUAACAAACACAGUAAGAAGGGAAAACAACAGCAAUAGUAGUAUGCUAACAUGGCACUGCAGGUACUGUGUGUUUUUAAAAAAGAGAAGUCACAAAAAAAUUCAAGGCAAUAUGAAAUCUUGAGUGAUCUAGUCAGCCGAUGCACCAUAUCAAGCAACGUUGACUGAGAAAAAGGAGCACGAACUGCCCUUACAUAACACAUGGUGAGGGGGCCUAAACCUAAAGAUUUCUUUGAACUUGGAGGAAUUCCUGAAUAUCUUGUUCAUCCUUGUAGUCCCACUCUCAUCACUCGAUCUCUACCUGCAUGGUUUAGCGUGUGCGCGGUGGCGUCAUUUUCGCACCGGAUCGGAGCUGAGUAGCUGAUUAAGCAGGUGUGGCUUUUCACUGAAACGCCCUAUGGGAGAAUCUCAAAAUAACCUGACAUUUAGUUUUUUCUCUUUCUUGAAAUUUUUGCUUUAGAUAUAUAAACACCUUCCUGUCUUAAAUAAUGACAAGCAAAUCUCACGCUGGUUCAAGGUUUCCACAAAAAAAAAAAACCCGAAAAAAUAUCACUGCUUACAAUAAGUAAGAGAAAAGAAUAACUUCUUGGAGAAAAAUAAACAGAAGAACAUGAAUUUACUAUUUGUUCAUGAACUUGAAUUAACAAAGUAGAACUUCUUAGAGGGAAAAAAAACCCCAUUGUCAAAAUAACAGGAAUAAACUGAAAAACUGUUAGUUCCCGACAAAGAAAGGAGAAGAAGAAAUAUCAAAGUAUGGAGGAAACCAACAAUUCAUGGCAGGAGAGUACAGAUGAAACUAAAUCUUGCCCAUUACCGGUAGGAGAUAGACAGGAAACAUCUCCGUCGGUGCAUAUACCUUCCCAUGCAAGAGGAAGAGCUAUAUUCUCUCUGGGCACCAUGCAUCUACACAACACAAGCGGCUGAGGUUAUGAGUGCUUCACAGGCCACGAUGCUCAGCCCAAUUGGCCUCUCUCUGUAGUUUCCCACAGCUUUAUUGAACUGCACGUGCCCACGCAAGUAGCAGAAGGCGCAUCUCCUUUGCAGAUGCAGUUCAAGAAAGCUGUGGAAGAUCACAAAGAAGGCCAUGGUGGUCAUCCAGUGCAAGAGGAAGAAGAAACAAGGGGGUGGAGGAGGAAGAGGGGAGAGCAAGGGCUAUUUAUACAGAAAGAAACAUGGUGAGAGAGAGGAGGAGGAAGAAGUAGAGGGGGGUAACUGGUAAGAGCAGCCCGGGGUCUGGUUGGUGUGAGAGGCUAAGGACCCCAAUCCCAAGAAGAAUAUAGAACCUGAACACUAGUCCAAGCCAGCCAAGCUGUGUGCGUGUGUGUGGACCUAGGAGGGAGACUUUUUGGGCAGAUCAAUCCAAGGAGCUUUGUUCAUGGCAGGGGAGACAGAGGGCGAGUUCUUUAAUCCACACUUGUAGCGAGUGUACCAGUGUGCUUAAGCUUUACUGUUGGUGGUGGCUGUCUUUGUGGGGGGUUUUUUCUCGCAGAAAACAUGCUUGUUCUGCGGUUAGGGACGAUGCGAAAAGCAGUGGAAAGAUGGAGCCUUUCGCGCGCCCUUUCCCCUGAUGAUCGCGAGUGGGAUACAGUUACACCUGCAUAUGCAGUGACCAGGUCGAUUGGACAGCGUCUCCACGGGCAAUUCUAAAGCGAGAUUUUGCAUGGGGCCUCGGCCGAUCCUGCUGGGCCGGACGGCCGGCCGGAAAGAUCGCGUGAAAGCUCUCCCGGAAGCCGGAAUGGCUUCGCUUGCCUUGUUUGUUUCCGGCAGGCGGCAGCGAGAGGUGUUGGGUGGGUUGAAUGUUCAGCUUGUUUCCCGCGAAAGGUCUCACGAACGGACGCCCGCUGCCUGCCAUCUUCCUUCUCGGGGAUGCCAAGCUGCCAGCCUCAAAAGGAGGAUGCCUUUGGCGAGCGAUCGAUCGCCUCGAUGUUCAGCUCGGUGUCCCCAGCCGUUGACUCGUCCAAAAAUGGCCGAUGCAACGAUCGUUAUCGCCUCUUCUCCUCAGUUUAGCCGGAGGUGUAGUGUAGAAGGUUAGCACUAAAAUUUCCUUUUGCUCUGAUGCGAGAAUAGCACCAGGGUACUUGCGGACGCGGUGCGUCGGUCCAAGCCGCACCGGCGCCAACCGUGCUGCCCCAUGCUCGGGGACGCCGCCCCGCCCCGCGAAAUCUCGCGACAUCGAUCAGAGCGGCGAGCUCGUAUAUGCGGCGCUCCUUCCUCGGCUGUCCUUCCUUCCUGGCAUGGCGCGCGUGCCAUCCCAUCCCCACCACCUCCCCGUUCCGAUCGAGGCCGGUGGCAGCACGGUGUCAGAGCCUGGCCGGCGGGGCGAUCGGGCGGGCGGCCUCGAUCGGGGAAGGCGGCGCGCGGACCGGGGUCCUGGAGGCCGGAGGAGAGGGCCGGAUCACGCCUCAGGCGGUCAGGCCUGGCCAGCCAGGAGUAUAGUAGUGUUGGUCUCACGCGCCAAGGCCGGCUUUUUUCCUUCGUCGGUCAGGUGGCCCUGUCAGCGGCUAACUUGCGUUGUUUGGAAGCAAGUUAGCCUGCCAGCAGUGUCAGCCCGUCGUCGCUCGUGCAUGGCGUCUUACACGCAGCAGCGUGUGCUUCUACGGUAGUGCAGAUGCGUCGCUUGUUCAAAACCCCCUCUCGAUCCGGCUCGAAGCGUGCCAGCUCAAUUCAGACGACGAUGAGUGCGUGCCCCUAUGGAGCUAGUUUGUACCCGUCGUCACCUGGGUGGGCGCGGUACACGCACGGCUCAGCGCGUCCCCGCGCGCACGGGGGCACAUGGACUCGGCAUGGCUCUGCGUGAUGUGAUUGGGCAACCGGAGGAGGGGCCUCGUUUCGUCCGUGUCCGACGCGAGGGAGUAGUCAGCACUCAACACCCAGCGCACGCGCGUGCAACAGGGAUCUCGAUCACUCGGUGGGUGGGGUGGGGGGAGCAGGGGCUGGCCCGCCGGCCGUGCGACGAAUCUUGGACGCUUGCGCGCAGGCAAAGGCGCCGCGCGCGAGCGCGCGAGACCACCGCCCCCGCACGCACGCGUUGCCGCGGCGGGCGGGCGUCGGGGAUGGCAUGUAGCGAUGGAGGUGGAGCGCGCGCGGCGGGGUGUGUGGCGCGGCCGCGAGCGUCGCGGCCCGGCAUGGCGCGCACGGGCGCCUGUCCACCGAUCGGGGGCACACGGUCGCCGGGGAAUCAGCGCUCCCAGAACGUGCCGCGGCGGCCGGGACAGCCACCGAUCCUGAUUCCUGAGUGGUCUGCUCCAUCACUUCACUUCAGAGGCAACCAGACACAUCGCCUCGCACUUGAGGGUGGACUUCUCCUUCGCCUCGUCACCGUUUGAUGGCAUGACACGGGUUGUCUCGACGAUAUCCGUGGGGCCGGCGCCAUGAACCGUGAAGUGAGUUUUGCUAGGAAGGGUGGUGAAAUCGCCAGUGUUUCCACGGUGGAGGGAGAGCGGUGUACAAACAAGUGUCACUGAGCGAUGCUGCUCAUGGCAGAAGGGAGGACGUUCUGUGUGCAGCCUAUUGGGGUGUGCCGUGUGAUACAGAAGCCCAAGCUUAGUAGCCCAUGGACUGAAAGAGAAUUCGCAAGGAACCUCCACAACAACCCAACACAUUCGCUGCGCGGAAACGUGGGAAUAAAGGAUCAGCAGAUCGGGCAAAACGAGAAGUAAAAUGUGCUAGCGUACGUAGUUACAUUACAUACACGCUCACAGAAAUAAGAAUCUAGGAUGAACUAGGUUCAAUAAGCGCACGACAUACUGCAAGGCACCCAAAAUUUCCAGGCAUAUCAGUCAAAGACACGAGAUGUGCAGAACAUAGCAAAUUGUUUUGUUGAGCACUAAACCAGAUUUUUAUCCAACACGCACCUAAACGAUAAUUUUUUGCCUAAUAAGGUAGUAAGUAACUGGAUGUAUAUAUCGGAUGUUUGGAUGCUAAUUAGAAGUAUUAAACAUAGGCUAAUUACAAAACUAAUUGCACAGAUGGAGUAUAAUUCGCGAGACGAAUCUAUUAAGCCUAAUUAGUCCAUAAUUUGACACCACGAAUUAGCACAGGGUUCUGUAAUUAAUUUUAUAAUUAGCUCAUGUUUAGUCCACCUAAUUAGCAUCCGAACAUCCGUCCAAACACCCCCAAAGUAUAUUCAACCAGGGAAAUUCUAUACCUCUUAGAUGAACGAUACUCACCAAUUUCACAGGUAAUACAAAUUCACCAAUUUCAGUACGGCAAUAGAAUAAGCCCGCACCAAUGUGACAAAGCUGAAUGAAGAACUUUAAACACGAGUGCAUCGAACAGGCAAAGCUAGAGCAGGAUUUGUGACAAGUAAAUCCACGGUACCUAUUUUAAAGCGAGCACGUUAGCUGAUUAGCACCAACCAAGUGCAAAGCUAUAUCCGGUGCAUGCCACAACUAGGUUCACUGUAGCAACAUACAAGACUGAAAAAUAAACUAUGGUGCUUAAUUUCAACCCACAGAUUCAUGCCACCAGAAAUUCAGUGAAACCCUGCUAUUCAUGAUGCUGUUGACUGAAAAAUGCAACGCAUUGAGUACAUCGAAGAGCACCAAUAUGACAAGGGUCACAGAAAGGCACAUGUUGUGACAAGGACACCUAUAACAGCCACCUUCAUGCAUUUCGCAAAUCAUAAUGGUUAACUGCCAGAGAUAAAUUUAAAGUCUAGAACUAGAGUUUUUUAAGUCAUUAAAUAGCAUACUUGGCCUCAUAACACAACCAGGUUAAGGACUAUAUGCACACUGAGAUCACUUCAACCUUUGAUCAGAAAAUGUUUGCAAAGCUACUUGAGAAAAUGGCCACUUGAGGGGAAUAAUAGAACAAGUAAGCGGACUCACUUUCUACUCUUAGAGCUAGACCUCAGAUUCCAAUAAGUUUGAUCAAAUAGCAGACUCAAAUUUCCAAUAGCUGACACAAGGAGCAGAAAGAUGUUCAUACCAGAACCAUUUCCACGCUAAUAGAAUUCAGCAUGCAAUGCUGCAGUCGUACAGACCCCAUUCAGGACUCGUGCAACAAAAUAUGGUGAUCAAAAUUUAAAAUGCCAGAAGAGAAAGCUGGGGGUUUAUGCCAUUUAUGAUACAGCUGAAUUUAAGGACGGAAUGCACAAGCAACGACCUAGACAAGACUAUCGGGAGUCAAGCGACAACACGCAGUAAUUUCACAAGCCCUACAUUUCCAAUUACUUUUCACAUUGAUUGACCCGGACAUGCGGGAUCUACACUCUAGAACAAGACUUCACUUGGACAAUAGUUUCAACAGAAUAGUAGGCUUGAUUUCACGAUUAUUGGGAUUAGUGCAGAAGUACUGAACACUGUGGAAACUGCAACAUUUCAUACUUAGAUCAGUAUGCUUCGAAUACGCCUAACACAAAUGGUCGUUUCCCUAUCAAAGAGAGGAAUUAUAGACGUAAUGACAUGUAGAACUAAUGUCUGAUAGCCUUAAACUGAUCAUUCCACGUAAAACCAUAAAGUGACACAUAUUUGCAGCACAUCCACAUACCAAAACACGCAGCCAUAAGCAUGAUAAAGUCAUGGGCUCAUAUCACCAUAUCUCAAAAUCUUAACGAGGUGCACAUACCAUCUCAAGUUUCCAUCUCAUCACACGAACAACGAAACUGAAACUACAAAAGGUUCUUCCUUUGCUUGCACAACGAAACUACUACCAACAAGAGCAUAAGCAUACUGCGAACGGAAAGGAGGAACCGGGGCAGGGCGGGCCGGGGGCCGCGCGGCGCCUACUUCUCGGAGGAGUUGGGCCCGCGCUUCUUGCCGAAGCCGACGACGGCGGUGACGAAACGGCGGUUGUACUGCAUCCUCUUGUGCGCGCGGCCGCGGGGCUUCUUCUUCUUAUCCUGCUUCGCCACCUUGGGCGUCUGGCCGCGGACCUUCCCGGCACGGGCCAAAGAUCCGUGCACCUUACCUGCGCGCAGCGACACGAAAACCCCGAUUAGCGCAUCAGUAGGCGAUGAAGUAGCAACCAGAGAAGAGAGAUGAAAGGAGGCGAAGGUGGUUACCCAUGGCUGAGAAGCGGCGGCGCGGCGGCGGCGACGGAGGCGCGGGCGCGGAUGCUGGGAGAUGCGGCGGCGGCGGCGGCUGUUGGGAGGGAAGAGG